UUCCAAUCUUCAGAUCAAUACCUUGAUCGGCCGGUAGAGUGGUCGGGAUCGUGAAAUCCAACCGGGUCACGUUUGCAGGUCAAGUCGGGUUUGCGGGUCAACUUCUCUCCCUCCUCAUCCACUCACAAAGCGCCACACGACUCCCCUUGGCCAGGUUGUUGCUGCUGGAAUUUGUUUUGCUGGAACCAUUACUGGUGCUAGAAUUGAUGCUCGAGUUGUUGCUGCUAGAAUUGUUUUUGCUGGAAGUGUUACUGGAAUUUUUUUUGCUAGAAGUGUUACUGGUGCUGGAGUUGGUGCUCGAAUUGUUGCUGCAAUUUUUUUUCUUUUUUUUGUGUUUGUGUGUAUGAACUAGAGGUGGCAAAAAUAUAUGCCCGGUCUAGACCCGGAUCAUACCCGAGCGUUGUUAUUCGGCCCGGGUAUAAAGUUGGGUUGAUCUUAGGUAUCACUUGAUAAACCCGGAACCUGGAUUUUAUUAAAAAAAUUAUAAAAAUAUAUUAUUUUAAAUAUUUAUAUUUAUUUGACUCAUUUAUUAUACAUAUAUAAAGUUUUAAAUACUUAAAAUUUAUAUUUUCAUGUUAAAUUUUAUUGAAAUAAAUUUAAAACUUAUAAAAUUAUCAAAAAAUAAAAAAUAUAUACACAUAUAAUAUUAAAUAUAUAUAUAAAAUUCGGGCACUAGAAUUAAAACCCGACCCGGACCCAAACCCAGACCGAUUGCAUUCGGGCAGGGUCCGGUCAUUGCAAUACCCGGACCCGGCCCAGGGUUUUGCCAUCCCUAGUGUGAACUCCUGAUUGUUUUUUAUUAUCUUGGGCACUUGUUGCUGCUGAUAUGUGUGUGUGAAAUUGCUUCAAUGAAUUGAAUACAACAAGUGCCCAAGUCUUGUUGGAAUCAACAAGUCUUGCUGCUGGAAUUGUUGCUACCGUUAGUGUUGCUGCAAUGAAUUGAAGAAGCAACGUCGUUCGGUUUAAGUGACCGUUUUAAAACUCACACACAUGUGCUGCACAGUUGCAAUUAAAAAGGAAAAGUGACCGUUUUAAAACACAGCGUUUUGGCAAAUUCAUAGUUAAGUUCGGGGCAUAUAGCAGCGCUCUAAUUAUAAACCCAAAUGAUUUUUUCUUUUAUUUUUUUUGUCUUUCACAUGCUAAAUCCACCACCCUUACCGAUAAAAAUUGGGAUGAUUUAUUUUUAUCCUAAUGAUCAUAAUAAAAAUUUUAAAAAUUUUUUACUAUUUUAUCAAAAUUAUUAUUUAAAAAUCAUAUUUACCCCAAUUUUUUUUUUAACUACAAUGUUUGAGGGUGUAUUAUGAAGUGACCAGCUAUACCCUAAACGAGAAGUCGACCUUCUUAUAAGUGAGCAGACAUGUGAGGUCUGGUAUCAGGUAGCCAAAAGCAGGCAUUUUCUGCUCGAUUACAAGGACACCCUAUGCUAGACCGUAGCACGAGCAGGAUUCCUGCUAGAAACCGAGAGCCUUCCUGCUGGAGACCGGGGUCGACAGACCCAGUCCAUAACAGUUAACGGGUGUGCACUUCUAUUCGAAAAUCUAAGCACGAAAUCCACUCGGCCGCAACUACAAUAUUCAAGCAUCCACUUCUGAGAGCUGGGGAGGUGGUGAACGUGGGUCAUGGGGGGCUAAAUUUAUAGGAAGACUAUAAAAGAGGUAAUCAACGAAGGUAAAAAGGUUAAGCACUUUUACAUAAAAAUUAAGAAAAAAAAAGCAUUCUAGGAAAAACCUGUGAAAAGCUCAUAGGUAUUUUAUUGCCUAGGGAGCCACGAGAUCAGUGGCAGAAUUUCUUAAAAAGUCAACCCAAAUUUCUAAUUUGAGCGUUGAAGGGUUUACACGGAGAAAACUUCCAGCGUGCUCUGACUAAUUUGUGUGCACAGGAGUUCGUCGAGAAGAAGUUGCAAGAGGCAUACCUCUAUUCGCCUAGAAGAGUAACAUGAAGUAUACUCGGUAGGCUGCAAGUUUAAGAGUUAAAAAGAGAUCCUGAUCGUAAAUGAGCAGACACUAAAAUCUCGCAUCAAUAUAUAUAUAUAUAUAUAUUUUCACCACGACUAUAACUUUUAAUAUAACUUAGGUUAUCAAAAUUUUGAGCUUCAUUCAACCAACCAUAAAUCAUGAUUAAAGUCUACGUUGCGUAAGUCAAGAAAGACUUUAAUGGGAGAGAGAUCAUCUUUAUUAUCGACACUACAAAUGGACCCCAAUUAUAUCUAAAGUCUUUGGGCUCGUGUCCCGUUGUCUUCUUCUUUUUCAAAACCCUAUUUACUAACCAUUAAUUCGGUUGGUUGAUGAAUCCGGCGGUUUCUGAUUUUCUUAUUUAUUUUUAUGCGAGUGACCCCGUAACGAUAGCAUCGCAAUCUCAUGAAAAAAAAUUUUCCAAACGCAUGAAAAUUGGACACCCAUCAAGAAAAAUCUUUUUGUUACAGUAUUUACUGUACUUUCAAAAUUUUAAACAUGACAAAAAUUAAGUAAUCUACUUAUCAUAAUAAUCUAUGACCAAAAAUAUUGAACAUGUAAUUUUUUUUUUUUUUGUAAUUAUACACGCACAUCACUCUUUUACGAUUAAUUGACUAAACAAGUAUGAUAAACGAUUUUAUAAUGGAUUGUCUCAUAAUCUAAAUUUAUCAAAUAUUUUAAUGGUGAGACUAUUCGAAUUGAAUCCAUAAAAUUCUUUUAAAAUUUUCUUUACAACUUAUAACAUACUUUUUAGAAAGUCUAUCGAGUACUUAUUUAAAAAUUUUAUUUCAAUAGAUAUCAAGAAAAAUUAUUUGGUUAAGAGAAAUGAGCCCCUUUUGAGUUGGUGAAGCAUGAGCUCAUCACUAGGCAAUCCAUCAAAUUAUUCAAUAAACACAUUUACCCCACACAUCUAUAAUUAAUUAGAGGGAUGGAAUCAUUUGAACUUAUUAAAUUUCUCUUAACAUCCAUUUAUUUAACAUAUCCCCUAUCAAAAUCUUAAAAUUAAAUUUUAAUUCUAUAAACCUCUUAAUACCCCACAAAUAACCGUUUUAUGGUUGGUGCAAUAAUUUAGAUAAUUAAAUUAUUUAUUGUUUUUGGUAAUUUUUAUUUAAGAUUAUUUUUGUAAUAAAAUUUUUUAUUUAAAAAUAGGUCUAAGGUGCAUUUUUAUGGGGCCCAAACGACCUUAAAAUUAGAAAAAUUAAAUUUUACCAUAUAAAAGCAAAACCUCUUGUACUUCCUAAAGUAUCCUUGAUUAGAUUUCUUUUUUUAAUUCUAUUAUUUUCUCUCUCCUAAAGAAGUUGCUGUAUCCUUUCUGGUAAGAUGCUCUGUUCAGGCUUCAAUGUUGUUGGAUUGAAUUGGCAACUGAACUCGAAUCAAUUCUCAUGCAAGGGUUGGGGAAUUUGCUCAACUUAUAAUUGGUAGGUUUAUGCCUUUGGGAUCAAACUCAUUUCGCCUCUCCAAGAAUCUGCAAAAUUAAUUGGUAUUAUCAUGUCGGCGCUGCUUAUAAUUAGUAGUGCUUGCAUUGCCCUGAAUUCAGGCAUUGCUUGAGUAGAGUUGGGCUUGCUGAUUCAUUUUAGUGACAAAUGAAAACAUUAAAAAAAAAAAAAUCAGGACUUGUUCGUCCAAAUUUACAGAUAUUUUGUUCUUUAAUUAAUUUUAUUAUAACAAACAAUAGGAUAGCAGUGUUGUUUAACCAGUUGCUUACACCUUGGCAAUAUAGCUUUGUGUUUUUUUUUUCUUUUUUCUUUUUUCUUUUUUUUUAAUAGUUUGUGAGAUGGCCAGUGAUAUAUAUGUCUUUUUAAAAUUUUCAAUUAUUGGGGCAACGAACAUGUUAAAUAAUUUGCGGUGGAAAAGGUACCAAUACUGACUCAAUAUGUCGAAUUUCUAGAAAAUUUUAACAUCAAAUGCCUUGUUUCCAUUGUUGUAAGUAUAAGUCAAAUUUCUUGCAAAUUUUCUAUGGGUGUGAUGAUUUUUUUUUUUUUUUUUAGUGCAAACGGCUCACCCUUCACAUAUUCAUAGAGAUGUCAAAUUCUCUAUCUUCACCAUAAUUCUAGAUUGAGGAUUAUACAUAGAGAUCUCAAAGUAAGUAAUGUGUUACUUGAUAAUGAGAUGAACCCAAAAAUUUUAGAUUUGUGUGAGAUGGCACUGUUCACAUUAUUUUUUUAAUUUCUUUAAUUAAAAUAACAAAACUAAAUAAAAAUGUAUAAUAUUUAAUAAAAUUAAAAAUUCAAGUAUGUUGCCGCUAGUGCUGAUGAACUACUAGCGAAAGUUCGACGGCGGCUAGCCACAGGUGGCUACUGCAUGACAUCAUGUUUUACCCUAAAAUUUGGUAUCAUUAAAAUUCUCAUUGUCGGGGCUUCACAGUAGUGCCAAAACCUUGAAUGUAGAUCGAUGGUGAAUGGAAAUUCCUUUGCCGAUGAUAGUUGACCAUUGCAUAGCCCUAAUAAUAAUGAUUCUAAUGGUAUCAAAAUAUAGUUCAAAUGGUACUAAAGUAGGAUGGUCAAGGUGAAAAUUUUUUAUUUUGAUUAUAAAAUUUUAAAUUAUUAAUUGAAUAUAAAUAAUAAUAGAAUAUAAAUGAAACUUUGAUUAUAAUUUAAUAUAAAUAUUAAAAUAGAAAUUAUUAUUUUAAAUAAUACAAUGCAAGCUACAUCAAACAUCAUAUUGUAUUACAGCUUAAUACAAUAUAAUAUAAUACACUAUAGUAUGUCAAACGCAUCCAUAAAAAAAAAUUCAAAAUCACAAGAUUUAUUUGGUGGGCCUUACCUGCAUUAUCCUUAGUUUACUUUUUGAGUCAAAUAAACAAUAGGCCCCAGAGACUUUUUAGUUCAUCAUGCUAUUGCUUUAGAUGUAAAUACAACUACAUUGAUCUUGGCAAAGUGGACAGUUUACUUUUUGCGUCAAAUACUAUGUUGGGAUUAAUUUUUUAUAAAAUUAGUCUAUUCCACUGUCUUUAACUGCAUCCAAUCAUACCCCAAUGGUUAACUAUGAGAAAAAUUAAUAAGACUAGCAAUUUGUUUACUUGGAAUUGGAAUUGACAAAAAUUGCAAUGAGUUGAAAUCAGAACAGGCUGGAAUUGAUCACAUGAGAAAUAAGAAUCAAAGUAAGUUAUAUACUUGAAUCGAAAUCAACAAAAUUCCAAUUGAUGUAUUUACUUCUGUCUUGUAAUCCAAAUAAGUUGUCACAAGUCAUAAAAAUGUCCUUAGUUCCACUCUUGCCAGAUGUCAUGAUGAUAUACGUUUCAUCCAUCUGGUAAGCGAAGGAGUUAUUACAAGUUAAAAAAAUGUCCUUAGUUACAAUUAUGUAUUUUUCUAUGUAAAAUAAAUAAGCAAACAUUUUUAAAGAAACCAUUGGCAUAUUUAUUAUAAUAUUGAGUGUAAUACAAUGAGUUUUUGAGUAAACUAGUUGUUGUUGUUGUUAUUUUAAAUCAAUAAUAACUACUAUUAAUAUUAUUAUUGUAGGGAAAUUAAAGCCCUAACUUCCUAUUAAUUUAAUUCCCUCUUAUUACUAUAAGGGGAACCAAAGUUCAAAUACCAAGUUUUUGUUGCUGGCAGGACUCGAACCUACGCCCCUCAACUUUCUAGGUAUAGGUUCUCCCAUUAGAUUACAAGAUCGGCUUGUGUUAUUGUUACUACUAAUACUAUUAUUAUUAUAAUUGUUUAUUUUCUUAUUAGUAUAAUUAAUAUUAUUAAGAUUAUUUAAUUAUGUAAUAGGAAUAAAAUCAAAAUUUCAUAAAUUAAGGGAUAGUAAAAUAAUUAAUUUAGAAAAUGAAAAUCACAAUCCUACCUUCCCAUAGAAAUGAGAUUCUCAUUCCCACCUUUAAAAUUUGGUGGGCCUCGCAAAUUUCAUUCACAUUCUCAAAUAUCAAAUAAGCAAGUAAAUAAUGGAAUCAUUUCCAGUCUUCCAUUCUUGACUCCCAUUCCAAGAAGUUAAUAACCUUUAAUAGAACGUUCAAAUGAAAAGACUAGCCAGGCCUUGAGAAUUGACAUCGAUCAAUUAUCUCUUCCGUGUUAGAAAUAUAUGUUAUUUGUUUUGUCUUUUUUUUUUUUAAUUCAUAUAUUGUUGAAAAGUCAAAAUUGACGAUUUGUUUAUUCAAAUCGGUUGAAAAAUAAGAGGUGAGCCACAUGCAUAAUUGACUUUUGGAGGAGGUAGGAAUCGCAUGCAUAAUUUCUUUCAAAAGUGAAGAAUUUUUGCAACUUUAUGAAGACUUUUUUUAUGCAAUUGAAGAGUUUUUCAAAAGGUAGAAAUGGUGGCCCAAAUCAUUGAAAUAAUUGCAUGUAAAUUAGAUGUUAGGUGUUGGUGCCUAUAAAUAGAGAGCAUUUCUUCAUUCCAUUUCAUCCCAAAAAUUUGAGAGCUUAAGAGAAAUUACAAGUGAAGCAAUUAUAAAGUUCUAAGAGUGUGAGCAAUUGAAGAGUGUGUGUGAGAGUACUGGGUGUAUUUAGGUUUUGGGAAAGUGAGGCUUCUCUACUCAAAUUUGUACUCUAAUAAUUGUUGGUAAUACAAUUAUUUUUCUUUUGCUUCCGUGGACGUAGGCAUAUUGCCGAACCACGUAAAAUUCUGUGUCUUUUAUUUUUCUGUGAUUAUUUGGUGCGCUUGAUUUCGUAUUCCGUGCACAAUAUAUAUGAUCACUCUUGAAUCUCAAAAAGCAAAAAAAAAAAAAUCGCAUUAAAAAAGAUCCAUUGCAACUUGUAGACAAAUACAAAACAGAAAAAUUAGUAUUCCUAGUCCUCUGCCACGUUAAGAGACUCAUUUUUCUUACCUAUGAUCGAAGCUUCAUUUGGAGGAUAUGCUGUACAGAGUAGUUUUCCAAUCCAGUAUCUUGGAUUGGAGUUAUAAUCCGGGGGACAAUUUGUAGCCGUCGGAUCAAAUCCAAUGGCAACUUAUAUUUUUAUUUCAAAUAUUGAUUCCGACAGUAGGGCCCACAUGCAGACUUUUACAAUUUUUAAGGGUUCAGUUAUGUUGCAAGAGUUGUAAGGACCUCAAUUUUUAUCAAUUGUGAUUUAACUAAUGUAAAAUUUAACAGAACACCUUAUACUCUAUUUUAUUCAUAAAAUAUUAACAAAUAUUAUGAUAGCUUUUACUUACAUACACUAUUAAAAUUCUAUUUAACACCUUACACUCUUUUUAUUUAUUAUUUUCAUAAAUAUUAAAGUAUUUAUUUGUUUACAUCCAACACUAAUAUCAACAAAAAGACAACAAUACCCUUAAAUUUAUAAACUAAAAAUAAAAUUUUAGAUUUGGAGCCAACAAGUUUAAGGGACUCCAAAUCCAAGAUUGUGACUCUCUGUUGGUGCCUUUGACUACAAGUAACGCCAUGCCAUUGGCAGAAGUGGAUGGAUUCAUUCGACGAGCCUAAAGCACCAAGAGGAUCAUGGGUGAUCUUGGACUUGAAUUCAAGCAAGGCUAAUCGAUCUGUCCCGUUCCCAACAACUUCAGAAGCCCUCACACCAAGGAUUUCAGGAAUUAGAAUGGCGUGGAAGCUGAAGCAGAAUACAAGGACAGCAUACGCAACUAAAAAAGAGCAAGGGCAAGGCACUCUUAUGCUCAUGUUGAAUGGAAAAUUUUUAUCUCGGAGUUGCAGGUAAAUGGUGGAAUGGAUUUGUCAAAAUUUAAGGUUCAACAAUCAAGAAUAUAGACAAAUGUAUUCACUCAGCAAGGCUCUAUCUGUAAUUAUUAUUAUGAUAAUAAUGUAACAUUCAUAAUUUUGUCAAACAGCUUUCGGAGGGUUUAAUAUUCAUUUAAGUUCGUAAAAUCUAAAGUUCAUAAUUUUGUCAAACAGCUCUAUUUGUAAUACACUUGACUUGUUCUGGGAAAUUUCCCAGCCAAAGAACUUGCUUGUAAAAAUCUAAAGCAGCCUUAGCUAAAUAGUGAGCAAUAAAAUUACAGCUCCUAGAGACAUAUGUAAUUGAGGCCGAUGUCUGGACUUUCAUUUUUUCUUGAAUCUCUGCAAUUCUCCACGAAAUUUCAGCCUUGCUGCUCUUCUUACUUAAGGCUAGUUCCACCACUUCCUUUGAGUCUGAUUCAAGGAUCAAAGGGAAGCAAUCUGCUUGUUGAGUACUUUGAAAACCGAGCAGCAUAGCUUCAGCUUCCAUACAAGCUGCAUUUUCUUGAUAUGGGAUUCCCUGGACUGCUGCAGCAACAACUUUGCCUCUGCAAUUUCUAAUAACUGCUCCCAGCCCUGCUUUUUGUUUUGAGACAUUGAUUGCCGCAUCAACAUUACUUUGAACCACCCAUUUGGAGGAGUAGUCCAUUCCAACUUUCUGUUCUUGCUGUGCUCUGGAAUGGCUUGGGCAUUUGGGAUUUAAUUCGUCAGUAGGACUCCACUAUAGCUCCUGCUCUGGCAAAAGAUUGCUUCGGAUCUUCAUCCUUCCCUUAAAAAAAAAGCGAUUUCUGGAAUACCAGAUAGCCCAGCACACAGCAACAAAAAACUCCAGAUCCUUCUUUCUUCUCUUCAAAGCUACAUCUUGAAUUACACUUAACAUGUCCUGACGAGCCAACUGUUUAACUUCCUCAUCAAGAUCUGUAAAUUUCCAAAUCCUCCUCGCUGCUUUGCACUCCACUAAAGCAUGGAAAACAUCCUCACCUCUGCACUUGCACCUUUGACAAAAGGGAUCCGACACUACUUUCUUCCUCCAUAGAUUAUGCAUUGUUGGUAACAAUUCUUUCCGUCCUUGACGACCAAGAUCAGUCGGUAAUUGGUGCCGGAAACCAUCUUAGUCUCACCCUUCUCCACGCUCUUGAACUUGAACUCGUUCUUUGACUGUUUUUUUUGUACUCAUCACUGCAAACCGCCCGAUCUCUGUCACGUGCGGCUUGCUGAGGUCUUCUUUCGACUUCCAUCCCCCAACUAAGACUCCUUUACGAUCGCCGGCGGCCAGGAGAGGGGUUGUUGCCACGGCUUUUCACGACCACAAAAUACGUAAUCCCUGCACCUUGGGACAAUUGUGGGGGAUGUACCCCAUUCCCUUCAAAAUACCCAAUAUAUACCUAAAAUUAUAACGCUCUUAAAUUUUACAUAUAUAUACUCUAAAAAACUAAAAAAAGUACAAAAAUAACCACAACUAAAUCCUCAUAAAACUAAACCCAACUUUUCGAAGUCUGGUAAAUAGUCGAGAAUACUCGACUUCAACCAAACCAUACACAAUUAGUAAUUCAGCAUAAAUUCUCGACUUUUUCAUGUUAGUCUGGUAAAUAGUCGAGAAUACUCGACUUCAAUUAAAAUAAAAAAUUAUUUAAAAAAUUUUCAAUUUUUUCAAGUAAGUCGAGUAAAGAGUCGAGAAUACCCGACUUUAAUUUAAUCUUACCCAAUAUUCAUUCAACAAAAAUUCUUGACUUUUCAUUGAAGUUCGGUAAUUGGUUGAUAAUACUCGACUUAAAUUGAAAUAAAAAUUUUUCUUUUAAUUAAGUCAGGUAAAAAGUCAAGUAUACUCGACUUUGGUUGUGUUUAUGAGAGAGGAAGAGAGGAAGUAAACGUAAAUAAAUGAUUUUUUUAUGUUAUUUUUUACUUUUUACACUUUUAAGAGGUAUAUGUAUGUAAUGGGGUAUAAAUUUAGCAUUUAAGGACAAAUGGGGUAUAUUUAAAUAAAAAACCCCUGCACCUUAUCCAUUUUCUUCUAUCACUUGUCAAGAAGGGUAAUUUUAUCCUUUUAAGAUUUAUAAACAAAAUAUAAAUAAAAUUAGUGCAGGUGUUCAAGUAAAUUUGACAACAUUUAAAUUAUAAAAGACAAAAGUUAGGGUACGACAGUUGCAACUUGCAACAUAGCCGAGUCCAUUUUUAAUAUUAAAAAGUAAAGCUGCUUUUAAAUAGAGAACUGAUAUUCCCUCCCCAGAUUCUUCAUCAUCUGACUAAAGCCAAAAAGAACUGAUACUAACAAAUCACCAUUUGGGAUUUCCACUUUUUCAUUAUCCAUUUUAGUACAACUUAAAUCAAGGGGGGAAAAGGAAUAAAACAAGCAGAUGAUUACACAUGCACACUGAUUUCCAUUUUGUCACCAUUUCUUGCCGAUGUUGCCGCCGUAAUUCUUUUUUUUUUUGGUUUAUCUCAAACUUUGUAAUUUUAUUAAUAUUGAGAGCAUAAAAAACAACGAGUUCAUGGUCCAUCUGAUUUUAGUAAAUCAAUCAGGUGAGCUUUGCUAUUAACUUUCCUUCACUCCAGUCAGGCAUCAACAUCCAUCAAAAACUCACAAAACUUUCUCUCUUAAUCGCCUUUACAGACUCUUCCUUUCUCAUUUUUCUCGCUUUCUUCUUCUUCGAAAGCAGCGAGCCCUUCCAAUCCCUUCUUUUGUGGCUCUCCAUUUCCCUCUUCAUCCGCCCCUUCGCCAUCGCUCAACUCACCUGCGGUCACAGCCCAAUCAUUGAAACCCCUCAUAUCCAGAUCCAAAGAUUAAAAGGAAGCCUUAGAAGUCGCAAAAGAACCGAUCUUUAAACCCCCCACAGUUCGGUUCUGAUCGUUAAAAACUCAAAUGUGUCAAUUCGAAUUGAGUAAAAAGAGAAGAAAUUUGAAGUCUUGGAGGAAUGAAAUGGAGAGGAUAUUCAGAUUCUGAAAAGCAGUGAUGAAGAAACCGACGGGGAAGAUCAGUUCUCUCUCUAAAAAUUUUAUUAGGCAACUUUAUUUUUUUAAUAUUAAAAAUUAAAAAAAUCUGCAUGUGGGCCCUUAUGUUGGAAUCAAUAUUUGAAAUUAAAAUAUAAGUUGCCGUUGGAUUUGAUCCGACGGCUAAAAAUUGUCUCCCGGAUCCUGAAUUGGAAAACUACGCAUGCUGUACAAAUGAUUUAGCUCAUGUGAUUAAUAAAUAUAUACGAUCAUAAUUAAUUUCCAGCUUUUGGGGAAGUUAAAAAAUCCUUAUUUUUCCAUUUGUGUUUUAAGCAUGGUUUUUUACAAUUUUAUAUUUAAGUUUAAUAAAUUGAAUAGUAUGUGUGUAUUAUUUCAUUAUGUUUAUGUUUAUGUCUCUAUCUUUAAUUUUAAGGACGCUAUAUGUAUUAACUCAUAUUUCCAACGGCCGUACUUUAAUAGGAACAAGAAGACAUGAUUUCUAUUAGAGCAUAUUCGACAGAUUUCUAAAAUUAUACCAAUAUAAAUUCAUUAUUAGUUAGAUGAGAAAUAAGAAAUUUAAUUACAACAAAUGAUUUACAACGAUGACCCAAGUAAACUAUCAGUCAAGUCAAUGAAUAAAUUAACUCGCGUCACUGUUUCGUCACUAUUAUUAUUUUUUCGGCUCAAUUAUGAUUACACUUGAAAUCUGUAAGCUACAGACUGCAGCAUCAGCCGUUGGAUGUGGAGUGAGAAACUAAACAAUAGAAAAUGGGAUGGUGGGAGAUGUUUGUUGCAGAAUCUGUACCAUAGACAGAUAAAGCCUCUGUAAUGAGUAUUUUUUUCGGCUCAAUUAUGAUUAUUACAGUUGGAAUCUCGGACCCAGCAAAAAAUUAUCCGUUGAUGACAACCGAUUGCAACUUAUAGACAGAUACCAAAAAUAUAAUUAGUAUUCAAUGUCCUUUGUGAAGUUCUACACGUAAUUUAGCCGGUGGGGUUUUUCGAAAUUAUUGAUUAUUCUUUCCUUUGAAAUUAAUAUAAAAAAACAGCUCCAUAAUUUUUCUGUGUAAUUUAAAACUAUUGCAUGACAUUUUCUAAUCGGCCAUCCAUUAUUUAAUUGAUAACGGCCCAGCAUGCAUAUGGCUAGAAAUUCUCUUCUUCUAUUCUAAUUAAAUUUCAUGUAAACUUUUCUCAGUUUUCAGUGUUUGCCGAUAUAUUGAAGACCAUAAUAAUAAUAAUAAUAAUAAUAAUAAUAAUAAUCAUGAUGAAGAUGAUGUAUUACGUCCCAAAUUGUCUUCCUUAUAAUAUUUGGCCCUAAAACUGAUAAAAAUAAAAGAGUUGUACCAUUGCAUAACCGUAGAUCUAUGACGAAUGAAAAUCAUUUGCUGGUAAUAGUUGUACCAUGUCAUAACCUAAAUAAUAAUUAUUUUAAUAGUAUUAAAAUCUAAUUCAAAUGGCACUAAAGUACGGCCGUGAAAUUUUUUUAUUUUAAUUAUAAAAAUUUAAAUUAUUAAUUAAAUAUAAAUGAAUCUUAGAUUAUUCCUACAAUUUGGUGGGUCCCGACAUUAUUCCUACAUUUUAAGUCUUCGGCUCAUUUAUUUCCCAUUUUCUUUUUCUUUUUCAUAAACAUAUUUUCUAACCAUUGGUUUUUAUUUCUUAAAUACGACGGUUUGACUCCAGAAGCAUUGACUUUCAGUUCAAUGCCGUUAAAGAUGGACCACUAGUCACGGUAUUAGCAUCUAUAUAGUUUGUUAGAGAGAGAUCUAAACCAAUACACAAAUGGGUGUACUUUCAGGUCAGUGCCCUCCAAUAUGGAUUAUCAGUCAUGGUGUUUAAUUAUAUUUAUUUAACUUGUUAGAGAGAGCUCUACGCCUAUAGAGUAUAACAAAUGGGUGUACUUUUGUUUUCGUUCAUCUGUUGUAAGUUACUGUUUUUCUUGUCUGAAUCCUCUUUCACUUCCGACACCAUUACUUCAUCUCAGUCCCUCAGUGAUGGCAGGACCUUAGUUUCAAAAGAUGGAAGCUUUGAGCUUGGUUUCUUCAGUCCUGGUAGUUCCAAGAAUCGUUACGUGGGAAUUUGGUACAAAAAUAUGCCAGUUAAAACUGUUGUUUGGGUUGCAAACCGAAUCAACCCCAUUAAUGACUCUUCUGGGUUGUUAGUUGUAAACAAGACGGGCAAUCUUGUUUUAACAAGCCAGAACAAGAGUGUAGUUUGGUCAGCAAACUUGAGCAAAGAAGUCCGGACUCCAGUUGUAUUGCAGCUACUAGAUUCAGGAAAUCUUGUCCUCAGAGGCGAACGAGAUGGCGGUUCUGAAACUUAUUUAUGGCAAAGCUUUGAUUAUCCUUCUGAUAAUUUGCUACCGGGAAUGAAGCUCGGAUGGGAUUUGAAGGCUGGUCUUGAGCGGCGUAUAACAUCAUGGAAGAGCCCAGACGACCCGUCUCCUGGAAACUUUACUUGGGCAGUUAAACGACAAGAUAACCCUGAGUUAAUGAUGUGGAAGGGAUCAAGAAAGUUAACUAGGAGUGGCCCAUGGAAUGGCCUUAGAUUCAGUGGUUCAUCAUUAAGGCCAAACCCCGUUUUUAACUUCGGCUUUGUCUCUAAUGAGGUUGAGCUGUACUACAAAUUCGACAUGAGAGAUAAAGCUGCUUUCCAAAGGAUUGUUAUGAACCAAACACUCUAUUUAGUUCAACGAUUCACAUGGAAUAAAGCAACUCAAAGCUGGGAAUUGUAUUCAAAUGUGCCAAGAGAUCUAUGAGACACUUAUGCCCUUUGUGGUGCCUAUGGCAUUUGCAUCAUUAGCGAUAUGCCUGUUUGCCAAUGUUUAAAAGGUUUUAAACCAAAGUCAAGGGGAUAUGUGGACUGGUCUCAAGGGUGUGAGCGUGAUAAGUCGUUAAACUACUCUAGACAAGAUGGAUUCAUCAAAUUCACAGCGAUGAAAUUGCCAGAUGCUACUCUUUCUUGGGUGAGUAAAAGUAUGAAUCUCAAUGAAUGCCGGGAGAAAUGCUUAGACAACUCUUCUUGUAUGGCAUACACAAAUUCAGAUAUCAGAGGAGAAGGCAGUGGCUGUGCCAUGUGGUUUGGUGAACUGAUUGACAUGAGAGACUUUCCAGAUGGUGGGCAGGACUUGUAUAUUCGAAUGUCUGCUUCAGAGAUAGGUACUCGCAAACUUGUUUAUGUCACUCCAUUAUGAGAACUUAGGAGUACCACUCCAGUUAGACUAGUUGCACAUUUUUAUUGUGCAAUUUAGUAUUGAGUUCUGAUUGAGAAGCUCCUUUCGCAUAAAGCAGUUUCUGGGUAUAGCUUCUAUGCAUAGAAUUCUGCUGCUAUUUGAAUCAUUUGAUUAUUGACUUGCUUUGCUAUAUCUGAAUACGCUGAUCAAGGAGCGAAAGGUGAGCCUAGGACGAAGAUGGUGGUGAUAGUCAUUUCUAUUGCUGCUCUGUCAGCUGUGGUGAUUGCAGCUGGCUACUUGGUUCACAAAAGAAGGAGAAAUAUAGUAGGUAUAAUAUUGCUCCAUUUUCCUUCACAAAUUUUCGCUGACGAUUUGAUGCAGGCAAAUCAAACUCUUAUAAAUAUUAAAUUUAUAAGAGUAGAUUAAAUUUUUAUAUGCAGCAAUAACUGUAUAUUUGUUUCAAGAUGAAGCGUUAUCAGUGCAUAUCAUUUAGAUCAGGGGCAAGGUAAUUAAACAUGUAAAUUUUUCGUUGGAAUAGCAGGUUUACUUAUUUGCAUUUAGUGUUAUAUUAAUACACGCCUCUUUUUCACCUAUGGUUCUUUAUUUACUUGCACUUUCAUAUUGACUGGAAAAUAUCUUUAAUACAAAUUUACAGAUAACGAACCUUCUCAUCAAGAACAUGAAAAUUGUAGUUACUAGUUAGGAGUUUAAUAUUAUCCAAUAUUUCAGAGAAAACAGAAAACAACAGAGAAACUGAUCAGGUUCAAAACAUGGACCUGGAGCUACCACUGUUUGAGUUAGCUACAAUUGCUAAUGCCACCGAUAACUUUUCAAUCAACAACAAGCUUGGAGAAGGUGGCUUUGGACCCGUUUACAAGGUAAACUUGAAAGCUGCAAGUCAAGAAUACUUAUUUUACUGGGUAACUAAAUUCACAUAUAUCUUCCCAGGGCACCCUAGUGGAUGGACAGGAAAUUGCGGUAAAAAGGCUUUCGAAGAUUUCUGAGCAAGGAUUGAAGGAGUUAAAGAAUGAAGUUAUACUAUUUUCCAAAUUACAGCACAGAAAUCUUGUAAAGCUUCUUGGCUGCUGCAUUCAAGGAGAGGAGAAAUUGUUGAUUUAUGAAUUCAUGCCCAACAAAAGCCUGAACUCUUUCAUUUUUGGUCUGGGUCCCUGUAACCUUAAAAUAUUCGGCUAGCUUGUGCCUUGAUUAUAGACGUUUCUUAUGUAUUUUCAGAAAAUUUUGUGCUAACCUUAAUGUGGUAAUUUGUAGAUCAAGAAAGAUGUAAGAUAUUGGAUUGGCCCAAGCGUUUCCACAUUAUUUGUGGGACUGCUAGGGGUGUUAUGUACCUUCAUCAAGAUUCUAGAUUGAGGAUUAUACAUCGAGAUCUCAAAGCAAGUAAUGUGCUACUCGAUCAAGAUAUGAACCCAAAAAUUUCAGAUUUUGGUUUGGCAAGAGCUUUUGGUGGAGACGAAAUAGAAGGAAACACAAACAGAGUGAUUGGAACAUAGUAAGUACUUCUUGUCGUGUGAUCUUUACGAUUCACUUGUACUGAUUAAUGAAAAUUAACUUAUAUAUUUUAAUCUUUUGAAGUGGUUAUAUGGCACCGGAAUACGCUAGUGAUGGGAAAUUCUCAGUAAAAUCCGAUGUCUUCAGCUUUGGAAUUUUAUUGCUGGAGAUAAUAAGUGGAAAGAAAAAUAGAGGAUUUUAUCAUUCCGACAACAAGCUUAACCUUAUAGGACAUGUAAGUAAAAUGCAUACGACAUUUUCUAACAUAGUUUGAACUAAUAAACUGUAGAUGAUAAAAGAGUUUUAAUAUGUUGUAGGCAUGGAAGUUGUGGAACGAAGGCAUGCCUUCACAAUUAAUCGAUCCGUGUAUUCAAGGUUCAUUCAAUCUUGUUGAAGUGAUACGAUGCAUCCACAUCGGUUUGUUAUGCGUGCAACAGCAUCCAAAGGACCGGCCAAGCAUGCCCUCAGUGAUUUUGAUGUUGGGCAGCGAGAUUGUGUUGCCUCAGCCAAAGCAACCCGGUUACUUGGAGGACAGGAAAUCUACCAGACAAGAUUAUUCAUCAAGCACGCCUGAAUCAUGUUCAACAAAUACAAUUACGAUCUCUGAGUUGGAGGGUCGGUAGAGAAUCUAUUUGUGGUAUCAAGUGCAAAAGCAGUAAUAUGUCAACCAAAUGGAAAGUUAAGAUAAAUGAUUGGAGAAAAAAUGAUGAGGAUCAUCCAGUGAAUGCAUGUUGUGGAUCUAAAAGUUCAGAAGAUAGGACAAUUUUGCAGCUGACUGGUUGGCUAAAAAUGCAGGCUCUAUGCCUCUCGGAUUUCAUGUUUAUCAAGAACCUCCUGUAGGUCAUGAUCCUUGGCUUUGUUAUGAUAGGUAUGGGACAAUGAUUUCUCAUUCGGUUGUGUCUUAACUUGGCUAAGCCUAUUUUUGGUAAAAAAAAAAAAAAGAAUUUAAACUAAUGUUCAUAUAGAAAUUGUAAAUUAGAGGUACUGUGAGCAGUGUUGGGUCAAAAAAAUGAUUAACCCAGACUUAAAUUAAAUAAAAGCAAGACAUUAUAAUUGUUUUGAUAUAAAAUAUUUGCUAAUACAUUUAUGAGAAUAUCUUUGGUGCUUUUGGAGCAUUUUUAUCUAUUCACAAUUUAUUACUUGUGUAUAUAUGUCAUCAGGAUUAGUAGAAACAUACACAUGACAAAGUGUAAAUGAAAAAGGAGAAGCUCUCCAAGAGUACCCAAGAUUUUUUCUACAUUUUGAAAAUCAUGUGCAAUAUACUCAUUAUCAAUACUAUUAAGUACAUCCUUUUCUACGUAAACAACAAAAUUAACAUUCAUUCAUUCAUCUCUCAUCCAAUUUCAACGUUGACUCUUCAUGAACUUAAUUGCUGAAAACGUUCUCUCUACUGUGGCUAUGGGAAUCGAAAAAAUUAUAGUUAAGUGUCACCAACGAAUACAUUAAUACUGUAAUGGAUAUUCUUUAUCUUUUUUAGUCUCAAACUGUUCUUUUAGCAACUCAUUGAUUCCCUUCAUUCCUGCAAACCUGCCUAAUUGUUCUUUCCUAAUUUAACGCAAGCCCUAAUUUUCUGUUCUUUUUAGAACAAGAAAGAUAAAAUUUGUGAUUGGAGGAGUGGCUAAUUAUUAUUUUUAAUAAAAUUGAAUCUAUUUUUUUGAAAUAGAAAAAUGUUUUGGGUUGUGGGUUAUUAUUAUUUUUAAAUAAAGCGUGACUUUAAAAGUUCAAGUUAAAAUUUAAAUUUUGUAGGUUUAUGAAUGUAUAGAGGCUAUUUUAAUAGAUUGAUGAAGGUUAAUUAGAAACCGAAAUGAUUUUUUCUUUUAAUUUUUUUUUUGUCUUUAACAUGCUAAAUCCACCACUCCUACCGAUAAGAAUUGGGAUGAUUUAUUUUUAUCUUAAUGAUCAUAAUAAAAAUCUUUUAAAAAUUUUACUAUUUUAUCAAAAUUAUUAUUUAAAAAUUAUAUUUACCCCAAUUUUUUUUUUAACUACAAUAUUUUUUUUUCACCACACGACUGUAACUUUUAAUAUAACUUAGGUUAUCAAAAUUUUGAGCUUCAUUCAACCAACCAUAACUAUCAUGAUCAAAGUCUACGUUGCUUAAGUCAAGAAGGACUUUAAUGGGAGGGAGAUAAUUAUUAUUAUCGACAUUACAAAUGGACCCCAAUUAUAUCUAAAGUCUUUGGGCUCCUGUCUCGUUUUCUUCUUCUUUUUCAAAACCCUAUUUACUAACCAUUAAUUUGGUUGGUUGAUGAAUCCGGCCGUUUCUGAUUUUCUUAUUUAUUUUGAUGGGAGUGACCCCCUAACGAUGGCAUCGCAAUCUCAUGAAAAAAAAUUUCCAAACGCAUGAAAAUUGGACACCCGUCAACAAAAAUCUUUUUGUUACAGUAUUUACUGUACUUUCAAAAAUUUGAACAUGACAAAAAUUAAGUAAUCUACUUAUUAUAAUAAUCUAUGACCAAAAAUAUUGAACAUGUAUUUUUUUUUUUUGUAAUUAUACACGCACAUCACUCUUUUACGAUUAAUUGACUAAACUUGUAUGAUAAACGAUUUUAUAAUGGAUUGUCUCAUAAUCUAAAUUUAUCAAAUAUCUUAAUGGUGAGACUAUUUGAAUUGAAUCCAUAAAAUUCUUUUAAAAUUUUCUUUACAACUUAUAACAUACUUUUCAGAAAGUCUGUCGAGUACUAAUUCAGAAAUUUAUUUCAAUAUAUAUCAAGAAAAAUUAUUUGGUUAAGAGAAAUGAGCCCCUUUGAAAAUUUGAGUUGGUGAAGCAUGAGCUCAUCAUUAGUCAACCCAUCAAAUUAUUCAAGAAACACAUUUGCCCCACACAUCCAUAAUUAAUUAAAAGGAUGGAAUUAUUUGAACUUAUUAAAUUUCUCUUAAGAUCCAUUUAUUUAAUAUAUCCUCUGUCAAAAUCUUAAAAUUAAAUUUUAACUCUAUAAACCUCUUAAUACCCCACAAAUAACCGUUUUAUGGUUGGUGCAAUAAUUUAGAUAAUUAAAUUAUUUAUUAUUUUGGUAAUUUUUAUUUAAGAUUAUUUUUGUAAUAUAAAUUUUUAUUUAAAAUAGGUCUAAGGUGCAUUUUUAUGGGGGCCCAAAUGACCUUAAAAUUAGAAAAAGUUAAAUUUUACCAUAUAAAAGUAAAACCUCUUGUAAUUCCUAAAGUAUCCUUGAUUAGAUUUCUUUUUUUAAUUUUAAUAUUUUCUCUCUUCUAUAGAAGUUGCUAUAUCCUUUCUUGGUAAGAUGCUCUGUUCAGGCUUCCAUGUAUUUGGCUUGAAUUGGCAACUUAACUCGAAUCAAUUCGGUUUAUGCCUUUGAUCAAACUCAUUUCGCCUCUCCAAGAAUCUGCAAAAUUAAUUGGUAUUAUCAUGUCGGUGCUGCUUAUAAUUGGCAGUGCUUGCAUUGCCCUGAAUCCAGGCGUUGCUCGAGUAUAGUUGGGCUUCCUUAUUCAUUUUAGUGACAGAUGAAAACAUUAAAAAAAAAAAUCAGGACUUGUUUGUCAAAAUUUACAGAUAUUUUGUUCUUUAAUUAAUUUUAUUGUUACAAACAAUAGGAUAGCAGUGUCGUUGAACCAGUUGCUUACACCUGGGGCAACAUAGUUUUUUUUUUUUUUUUUAGUUUGUGAGAUGGCCAAUAUCUGUGUAUAUAUAUAUAUAUAUGGAUCCCCCUAUCUUACAUGCAUGUAAGAUACAUCCCUCUCACAUGAAUAGUGUAUGGACCCCACACAUGCACAAUUCAUGUGAGGGGGAUAUAUCUUACAUGCAUGUAAGAUAGAGAUGUAUCUUACAUGUGAGGGGGAUGUAUCUUACAUGCAUGUAAGAUAGGAAUUACCAUAUAUAUAUAUAUAAUUAUUGACUCAAUGUGUAAAAGGUACCAAUAUUGACUCAAUGUGUCAAAUUUCUUGAAAAGUUUAACAUCAAAUGCCUUUUUUCCACUGUUGUUAGUAUAAGUCAAACGGCCCACCCUUCUGUCCUUCACAUGUUCUGCGUUCCCCAUGUUCACAUUUUACAAUAUUAAAUAGAGAAUUUUGAGUCCAGAAGCAAUGACUUUCUGGUCAGUCCCCUCCAAGAUGGAUUAUCAGUAAUGGUGUUUAAUUAUAUUUAUUUAAUUUGUUAGAGAGAGCUCUACGUCUAUAGAGUAUAACAAAUGGAUGUAUUUAUGUUUUCCUUCAUCUGUUGUAAGUUACUGUUUUUCUUGUCUGAAUCCUCUUUCGCUUCCGACACCAUUACUUCAUCUCAGUCCCUCAGUGAUGGCAGGACCUUAGUUUCAAAAGAUGGAAGCUUUGAGCUUGGUUUCUUCAGUCCUGGUAGUUCCAAGAAUCGUUACGUGGGAAUUUGGUACAAAAAUAUGCCAGUUGUUAAGGAAGCUUACAGUGUACAAAAGGGAGUUGCAUAUUGAGCACGUGUGUGUCAAUGAUGAGUCAUCAGUUAGUUGAGUAAAGAAGCCAGCUCAACAAAUCUGUUAAUCAUGUUUUACGUUCUGUUCUUCAAUUGUUAGUAAUGCUUUAAUUCUGUUGAGAUUUGUGAGUUAGUAUAAAUAAGGUUGUGAUUGUAUUUGUAAUUAAUAACGUGAGAUUCAAUAAAAGUAAAUAGUUUCUAAGAAAAUCUUAUCAUCAUUUUCUUAGCUUCCAAACAACUUUUACAGUCACGAUCCAACUUUCAAACAUGGUAUCAAAGCCAGUAAGAGCAAGCUCUAGUACUCAGCAAACAAAUCAACAAAGUCAAAUAAAUUUUUCUUUCAACACUCCAAUUACACUAGAUCGAUCAAACUAUCUACUUUGGCGUUUUCAAGUUUUAGCUUCCAUAAGAGGCAAUCGAUUGGAAGGCUUCAUCAAUGGAACAAAACCAGCACCUGAAGAACAGUUCACUCAAGUUGGAGCUGAUGGAUCUAUUCAGAAAAUUGAUAAUCCAGAAUAUCAGAAUUGGAGAUCACAGGAUCAAACAUUGUUUGGAUGGAUGCUAUCAUCAAUAAGUGAAGGUACUCUAAACCUUGUCAUAAAUUGUGGUAGCUCGUUUGAUGUUUGGAGAACUUUAGAAAAGAAAUUUGGUGUGCAAUCUGAAGCUAGGGUUUUUCAACUUAGAUAUGAGUUAAAUACUCUUAGGAAGGAAUCAAUGAGUAUUGAAGAUUACUGCAUCAAAAUGAAAACUGUAGCAGAUAAACUUGCUAGUGCUGGAAGUCCUAUAACAGAGAAAGAUCUCAUGCUGACAAUUCUUAAUAGCUUAGGAGCAGGCUAUCGUGAUAUUGCUAGGGCUUUAUAACUGGUUCAAAAAUGGACUAUGAUGAUGCUUAUGCAUUAUUAUUAACUCAUGAAACCAGACUUGAACAAGAGCAGAAUGAUAAAAGCAUGUUUAAUGCAAAUUAUGCUUAUACAAAUGCCUAUUAUCCAAGGGCAUUCUAUGCUCAAUCAAGAAAUAAUUUUAGAAGAGGAGGACAUGCUGGUGCUCAGUUUGGCAAUAAUGGUAGAAAUCAUACUGCUAGAAGAGGAAAUAUUUUUCAGUCUCCAAGGAUGUUUAAUGGCAAUCACAGAGGUGGAUAUGGAAGAGGACACUCAUUUGGCCCAAAUAAUGUUAACUCCUUUCAUGCACUUAGGAAUUCAAUGCAAUUCACUCGGACUGGAGUUACUAAUAUGAAUGGACCUCAAGGAAUUCCAAGCAAUGCAGAAGAAUUGGUUUGCCAGAUUUGCUUUAAGCCUGGUCACACUGCUGAUAUUUGCUGGCAUCGAUUUGUGGAGGAUUAUGUCCCUUAUUCAAGGAGUCUAGGCAGAGGAAAAGGACCAAGAUCAGCAUAUAUUGCUAAUUUUGAUGGCUUUACAUAUCCAUAUCAAGGUUAUGAUAACUAUGAUAAUCAUCCUGCAUCUGAGACAAGCUGCUAUUCUGGAAUUGAUAACUAUGCACUUGCAGAAGCUUAUGUGGCUAAUUUUGAAAGCUUUGCUGAUGAUGGCUGGUAUUUGGAUAAUAGGGCAACUCAUCACUUGACCAACAACAUGGAGAACUUGCAUUUUAAGGAAGACUACAAAGGUACUGAUCAACUCAUUAUUGGAAAUGGUCAAGGUCUGUCAAUUUCCCAUAUUGGUCAUGCAUUUUUAUCAUUUAGAGCUUCAAAACAUCCUUACACACAUGCCUCCACUAUAACACUUAAAGAUAUGUUGCUUGUUCCUACAAUCACUAAGAAUUUACUAAGCAUCUCCAAACUUACAUCUGAUAAUUCACUCUCUGUUGAAUUUUGUGGAAAUGUUUGUUAUGUUAAGGACAUGAAGGGGCAAGUUCUUCUGCAGGGCCUUGCUGAGAAAGGUCUUUACAAGCUGUUGAUGAAAUCUUCUUCCAUGUCAUCUUUUGCUUAUCACGCAUCACCUGCCUUUCAUCUUUCUCAACUUCAGUCACAUAAACCAAUAUCCAUGCUGUCAUGCUCAAAUGUGUCUUCUAUUUCUCAUCAUUGUAAUUCCUUUGAUAAGACUUGUUUCAGCUCAAUUUCAAAUAAGUGUAACCAGAAACAUGAUGAACUUACCUUGUUACACAAAAAGUUUGGUCAUCCAAGCUCAACAGUAUUGAUGCAUUUUCUUAAGACUUGUAAACCAGUUAAAGUCUCUCAAAAAUCAAUUUUAUCUCCUGAGCAUUCUAUGUGUGAAGCAUGUCAAUUAGGAAAAGCUCACAAGCAACAUUUUUCUACAACCGAAACCAAAACAACUCAAGUAUUAGAACUGAUACAUACUGAUCUAUGGGGGCCUUCACCUACUACAUAUAGAAAUGGUUUCAAAUACUACAUUAGCUUUGUAGAUGAUUACAGUAGGUAUACCUGAAUUUACCCACUCAAACUCAAAUAAGAAGCUUUUGAAGUCUUUAUAUUAUUCAAAAUCCAAGUAGAGAAUCAGUUCAAUACCAAAGUCAAGAUGCUGCAAUCUGACUGGGAGGGGAGAAUACAUAGUUUUUACUAACUUCUUAAACCAGAAUGGGAUCAUUUUCAGACAUUCAUGCCCUUACACACAUCAUCAAAAUGGUCUAGUAGAAAGAAAACAUAGACAUAUAAUUGAGUUAGCUUUGACUCUCUUAGCUCAAGCUAAUCUUCCUUUUAAAUUCUGGUGGGAAGCUGUUCAUACAGCAGUAUAUCACAUAAAUAGAUUACCAACACCUGUAUUGAAACUCUUAUCUCCAUAUGAGAAGCUCUUUAAGCAUAAACCAGAUUACAGCCUCCUUAAAUGCUUUGGUUGUCUUUGUUAUCCGUACUUGAGGGAUUUUAACAAAAAUAAAUUUGACUUUCAUACCAGCAAGUGCAUCUUUAUUGGUUAUAGCUCAUCUCAUAAGGGAUAUAAAUGUCUCACAAGCUCAGGUCGAGUUCAUAUCCUUAGACAUGUUUUUUAUGAAAGUGUAUUUCCAUAUACAACAUUCUCUGUUCCUUCUUCAUUUGAAAAUGUUGCCAACUCAGAAACACCAGUGUCAAAUUUCUCUAAACAGCAAGUCUAUCAUCUUUCAACUCUACCCUUAUUCAACAGCAGCUUUGAAGAUACUUACUCAGUAGGUGUACCAAGUGAUGAACAGAGUCCUGUUGUGCCUGAGCAUACAAAUAAUUUGAAUCAACAAGAAUCAUCCAAUUAUUCUUUAUCAAAACUAUCAAUAUCACAAGUUAUCCCUCAAAUCCCUGAAUAUACUCAAACACAACUUGAACCACAAACAAGCAAUCAACAACACUCUGAAAAUAAUCCAAACAGAAUUCAGAUCUCACAACCUACACACAAAAUGAUUACCAGAUCAAAGUCUGGAAUAUUCAAGCCUAAGUUGUAUACAACCACUUUGAUCAACAAAGAACCUGACACAAUUCAAGAAGCUCUGAAUGAUAAAAACUGGUAUAAGGCCAUGAAAGAGGAAUAUGAAGCUUUGAUCAGGAAUAAGACUUGGUCUCUUGUACCACCUCCAGCUGAAUACAAAAUAGUUGGAAACAAAUGGGUGUUCAGGGUUAAACAAAAUAGUGAUGGCAGUAUAGCAAAGUACAAGCUAGAUUGGUUGUUAAAGGUUUCCAACAAACUGAAGGGAUUGACUAUUUCCAAACUUUUAGCCUUGUUAUAAAGGCUUCCACAGUGAGGGUUAUAUUAAGCUUGGCUGCAAUGCAUAGUUGGAUGAUCAGACAGGUAGAUGUCAAUAAUGCUUUUCUGAAUGGUGACUUAACAGAAGAUGUCUACAUGUAUCAGCCUGAAGGUUUUGUUGAUGAGAAGAGAUCAGGUUAUGUAUGUAAGUUGAAGAAGGCUUUAUAUGGUUUGAAACAAGCUCCCAGAGCUUGGUUUGAUAAACUAAAAGGUUGUUUGGUUGCAAACUGGGGAUUUCAAAAUUCCAGAGCUGGAAAUCAAUUACAUUCCCAGUGAAGAACAGAUUGCAGACAUCUUGACCAAGCCUCUCACAUUCACUCAAUUCAAUUAUCUCAGGAGCAAACUUAAUGUGCAGCCAUGCCCCUUAAGUUUGAGGGGGGCUGUUAAGGAAGCUCACAGUGUACAAAAGGGAGUUGCAAAUUGAGCACGUGUGUGUCAAUGAUGAGUUAGCAGUUAGUUGAGUAAAGAAGCCAGCUCAGCAAAUCUGUUAAUAAUGUUUUACGUUCUGUUCUUCAGUUGUUAGUAAUGCUUUAAUUCUGUUGAGAUUUGUGAGUUAGUAUAAAUAAGGUUGUGAUUGUAUUUGUAAUUAAUAACGUGAGAUUCAAUAAAAGUAAAUAGUUUCUAAGAAAAUCUUAUCAUCAUUUUCUUAGCUUCCAAAGAACUUUUACAGUCACGAUCCAACUUUCCAACACCAGUUAAAACUGUUGUUUGGGUUACAAACAGAAUCAACCCCAUUAAUGACUCUUCUGGGUUGUUAGUUGUAAACGAGACGGGCAAUCUUGUUUUAACAAGCUAGAACAAGAGUGUAGUUUGGUCAGCAAACUUGAGCAAAGAAGUCCAGACUCCAGUUGUAUUGCAGCUACUAGAUUCAGGAAAUCUUGUCCUCAGAGGUGAACGAGAUGGCAGUUCUGAAACUUAUUUAUGGCAAAGCUUUGAUUAUCCUUCUAAUACAUUGCUACCGAGAAUGAAGCUCGGAUGGGAUUUGAAGACUGGUCUUGAGCGGCGUAUAACAUCAUGGAAGAGCCCAGACGACCCGUCUCCUGGAAACUUUACUUGGGCAGUUGAACGACAAGAUAAUCCUGAGUUAAUAAUGUGGAAGGGAUCAAGAAAGUUUCACAGGGGUGGCCCAUGGAAUGGCCUUGUCUUUAAUGAGGAUGAGCUGUACUACACCUUCGACAUGAUAGAUAAAGAUGUUUUCUCAAGGAUUGUUAUGAACCAAACACUCUAUGUACGUCAGCAAUUCACAUGGGAUAAAGCAACUCAAAGUUGGGAAUUGUAUGCAAAUGUGCCAAGAGAUCUAUGUGACACUUGUGCCCUUUGUGGUGCCUAUGGCAUUUGCAUCAUUAGCGAUACGCCUUUUUGCCAAUGUUUAAAAGGUUUUAAACCAAAGUCAAGGGGAUAUGUGGACUGGUCUCAAGGGUGUGUGCGCGAUAAGUCGUUAAACUACUCUACACAAGAUGGCUUUAUCAAGUUCAUUGAGCUGAAGUUGCCAGAUGCUACUUCUUCUUAGGUGAGCAAAAGUAUGAAUCUCUAUGAAUGCCAGGAUAAAUGCUUAGACAACUCUUCUUGUAUGGCAUACACAAAUUCAGAUAUCAGAGGAGAAGGCAGUGGUUGUGCCAUGUGGUUUGGCGAUCUGAUUGACAUGCGAAGAUUUCCAGAUGCUGGGUAGGACUUUUAUAUUUGAAUGUCUGCGUCAGAGCUAGGUAUCCGUUUACUUGUUUUAGUUACUCCAUUAUGAGAACUUAGGAGUGCCACUCCAGUUAGAUUAGUUCCAUAUUUUUAUUGUGUAAUUUAGUAAUGAGUUCAAAUUAAGAUGCUCCUUUCACAAAAAGCAGUUUCUGGGUAUGGCUUCUGUGCAUAGAAUUCUGCUGCUAUUUGAAUCAUUUUUUCUUAGCUAUAUGAUUAUUGACUUGCUUUGCUAUAUCUGAAUAUACUGAUCAAGGAGUGAAAGGUGAGCCUAGGACGAAGAUAGUGGUGAUAGUCAUUUCUACUACUGCUCUGUUAGCUGCGGUGCUUAUAGCUGGCUACUUGGUUCACAAAAGAAGGAGAAAUAUAGUGGGUAUAAUAUUGCUCCAUUUUCCUUCACAAAUUUUCGUUGACGAUUUGAUGCAGGAAAAUCAAACUCUUAUAAAUAUUAAAUUUACAACAGUCGAUUAAGUUUAUAUAUGCGACAAUAACUGUAUGUUUGUUUCAAGAUGAAGAGUUAACAGUGCAUAUCAUUUAGAUCAGCGGCAGGGCAAUUAAACUUGCAUUUAGUGUUAUAUCAAUACACGCCUCUUUUUCACCUAUGGUUCUUUAUUUACUUGCACUUUCAUAUUGACUGGAAAAUAACUUUAAUACAAAUUUACAGAUAAAGAACCUUAUCAUCAAGAACAUGAAAAUUGUAGUUACUAGUUAGUAGUUUAAUAUUGUCCAGUAUACACACUGCAUAUGUGCUUUUAGUUAAUAUUAUCCAAUAUUUCAGAGAAAACAAAAAAGGCUUGAGUUAGCUAGCACUGUUUGAGUUAGCUACAAUUGCUAAUGCCACCAAUAACUUUUCAAUCAACAACAAGCUUGCAGAAGGUGGCUUUGGACCAGUUUACAAGGUAAACUUGAAAGCUGCAAGUCAAGAAUACUUAUUUUACUGAUAACUAAAUUUGCAUAUAUCUUCCCAGGGCACCCUAGUGGAUGGACAGGAAAUUGCGGUAAAAAGGCUUUCGAAGAUUUCUGAGCAAGGAUUGAAGGAGUUAAAGAAUGAAGUUAUACUAUUUUCCAAAUUACAGCACAGAAAUCUGGUAAAGUUUCUUGGCUGCUGCAUUCAAGGAGAGGAGAAAUUGUUGAUUUAUGAAUUCAUGCCCAACAAAAGCCUGAACUCUUUCAUUUUUGGUCUAGGUCCCUGUAACCUUAAAAUAUUCGGCUAGCUUGUGCCUUGAUUAUAGACGUUUCUUAUGUAUUUUCAGAAAAUUUUGUGCUAACCUUAAUGUGGUAAUUUGUAGAUCAAGAAAGAUGUAAGAUAUUGGAUUGGCCCAAGCGUUUCCACAUUAUUUGUGGGACUGCUAGGGGUGUUAUGUACCUUCAUCAAGAUUCUAGAUUGAGGAUUAUACAUCGAGAUCUCAAAGCAAGUAAUGUGCUACUCAAUCAAGAUAUGAACCCAAAAAUUUCAGAUUUUGGUUUGGCAAGAGCUUUUGGUGGAGACGAAAUAGAAGGAAACACAAACAGAGUGAUUGGAACAUAGUAAGUACUUCUUGUCAUGUGAUCUUUUCGAUUCACUUGUACUGAUUAAUGAAAAUUAACUUAUAUAUUUUAAUCUUUUGAAGUGGUUAUAUGGCACCGGAAUACGCUAGUGAUGGGAAAUUCUCAGUAAAAUCCGAUGUCUUCAGCUUUGGAAUUUUAUUGUUGGAGAUAAUAAGUGGAAAGAAAAAUAGAGGAUUUUAUCAUUCCGACAACAAGCUUAACCUUAUAGGACAUGUAAGUAAAAUGCAUACGACUUUUUCUAACAUAGUUUGAACUAAUAAACUAUAGAUGAUAAAAGAGUUUUAAUAUGUUGUAGGCAUGGAAGUUGCGGAACGAAGGCAUGCCUUCACAAUUAAUCGAUCCGUGUAUUCAAGGCUCAUUCAAUCUUGCUGAAGUGAUAUGAUGCAUCCACAUCGGUUUGUUAUGCGUGGAACAGCAUCCAAAGGAUAGGCCAAGCAUGCCCUCAGUGAUUUUGAUGUUGGUCAGCAACUGUGUUGCCUCAGCCAAAGCAACCUGGUUACUUGGCGGACAGGAAAUCUACCAGACAAGAUUAUUCAUCAAGCACGCCUGAAUCAUGUUCAACUAAUACAAUUACGAUCUCUGAGUUGGAGGGUCGGUAGAGAAUUUAUUUGUGGUAUCAUGCCUUAUUCUACAUUGUCAAGCGGAAAAGCGGUAAUAUGUCAACCAAAUGGAAGGUUAAGAUAAAUGAUUGGAUAAAAAAUGAUGAGGAUCAUGAAAUACUAACUAGGCAACCCAAGAGGGGGGGUGAAUUGGGAUUUUAAAAUUUAAGCUAAGCAAACCACACAACAAUUUAAUCUAUUGCCUUAAUCAAAUUGAAAACAAUAAAUUCAAUCAUGCACAAUAUUAAAAGAGUAAGGGAAGAGAAAACAAACACAAUGAUUUUUACGUGGUUCGGCAAUCCCCGUCUACGUCCACGCCUCCAAGCUCACCGGGCUUGAGGAUUUCACUAAGCUAGCCUCCCAAGGCUUCAAACGCUUACAAUUGACUUCCAAGGUGUCAAUGGACCUUUACAACAAGAGAUUAUCCCCAAUCUCUUAACCCAAGUGUAUCCCAACACUUACAAUCUCUUAACUUGAUUUUACAAAAAAGAUUACAAAUGAAUCUCUCUCACACAAUGUGUUUGAUCACAAGUGAAAGCUCAAUGUGUGAAUGAAUGAGAUGAAUACAAAGAUUUAAAGCUCAAUGAAAGUUGUAUUCUCAAUAUUUUGCUCAAUGAUGAUCGUUAGAAUGAUUCUUGUUUGAAUUGGAUUGAGCUUAUUUAUAGUUGGAGCUGAAAACUAGUCGUUAUUGACUUUCUGCACACUGUCGGAUCGCCGCUAACUAGAUGUCGGAUCGCCGUUUGACUGGUCAAUAUGACCGUUGGGCUGAUAUUUCAAAUUGUCGGAUCGCCGUUAUCUAGAUGUCGGAUCGCCGUUAUCUAGAUGUCGGAUCACCGUUUAGGUCCAGAGGCUAAUCUUCAGUUCUGUUAGAUAUCGGCGAGCCAUUUAUCAAAAUUGUCGGAUCGCCGUUUAGGUCCAGAGACUAAUCUUCAAUUCUGUUAGAUGUCGGCGAGCCGUUAUCAAGAUGUCGGAUCGCCGUUUUCUACAGUAACUGCUACAGUGAAAUAUUUUCUAAAUUUAUAGUUUGACCCCAAAACUUUAUAAAACUGUGUUACGGCCCAAAACGUUAUAAAACUUUGCAAAUAGGUCCAAUUUUAGAAUUUCUAAGUAAUGCUUUGUUAAUCCCAAAACUUUCUGAAAUUAUGGUAUAGCCCAAAAUGCUAUGACACUUUUCAAAUAAGUCAUUCUCCAAAAUUUCAAGCAAUACUUGUUUAUUUCAAAGUUUUCAAAAUUCUUUCAAUUAAACCAUAAACUUUGAAAAACAACCAAUUUCAUAAAAUCAUUUUUCCAUUAAAUAUGAAACAUUUAUAAUGUGAAAAUAAUGAUUUAUUUAAAAAGAAUAAAAACAAUCAAUUUCAUAAAAUCAUUUUUCCAUUAAAUAUAAAACCUUUAAAAUGUGAAAAUAAUGAUUUAUUUAAAAUGUAUAAAAAAUAAUUUGAUCUUAAAAGAUUAAUCAUUCUUAAUCUUGUUUGUUAUCAUCAAAAUCAAUAUUAUGGAAACAUAUAUGUUAACAGAUCAUCCAGUGAAUGCAUGUUGUGGAUCUAAAAGUUCAGAGGAUAGGCCAAUUUUGCAGCUGACUACUUUGCUAAAAAUGCAGGCUCUAUACCUCUCGGAUUUCAUGUUUAUCAAGAACCUCCUGUAGGUCAUGAAUCUUGGCUUUGUUAUGAUAUGUAUGGGACAAUGAUUCCCCGCUCGAUUGUGUCUUAGCUUGGCUAAGCCUUUUUUUGGUUAAAAAAAAAUGGAAUGUAGACUAAUGUUCAUAUAGAAAUUGUAAAUUAGAGGUACUGUGAGCAAUGUUGGGUUCAAAAAAUGAUUAACCGAGAAUUAAAUUAAAUAAAAGCAAGACGUUAUAAUUUUUUUGAUAUAAAGUAUUUACUAAUACAUUUAUGAGAAUAUCUUUGGUGCUUUUGGAGCAUUUUUAUCUAUUCACAAUUUAUCACUUGUGUAUAUAUGUCAUCAUGAUUAGUAGAAGCAUACACAUGACAAAGAGUAAAUGAAAAAGGAGAAGCUCUCCAAUAGUACCCAAAAUUUUUCCUACAUUUUGAAAACCAUGUGCAAUAUACUCAUUAUCAAUACUAUUAAGUACAUCCUUUUCUACAUAAAUACCAAAAUUAAUAUUCAUCCAUUCAUCUCUCAUCCAAUUUCAGCGUUAAUUCUUCACGAACUUAUUUGCUGAAAACGUUCUCUCUACAGUGGUUGUGGGAACCGAAAGAAUUAUAGCUAAGUGUCACCAACAAAUAUAUUAAUAUUGUAAUGGAUAUUCUUUAUCUUUUUUUGUCUUAAACUAUUCUUUUAGCAACUUAUUGAUUCCCUUCAUUCCGACAAACCUGCCUAAUUGUUCUUUCCUAAUUUAACCCAAGCCCUAAUUUUCUUUUUAGAACAAGAAAGAUAAAAUUUGUGAUUGGAGGAGUGGCUAAUUAUUAUUUUUAAUAAAUUUGAAUCUAUUUUCUGAAAUAGAAAAAUGUUUUGGGUUGUGGUUAUUAUUAUUUUUAAAUAAAGCGUGAGUUUAAAAGUUCAAGUUAAAAUUUAAAUUUUGUAGGUUUAUGAAUGUAUAGAGGCUAUUUUAAUAGGUUGAUGAAGGUUAAUUAGAAACCCAAAUGAUUUUUUCUUUUAUUUUGUAUUUUUGUCUUUCACAUGCUAAAUCCACCACUCCUACCGAUGAUUUAUUUUUAUUCUAAUGAUCAUAAUAAAAAUCUUUUAAAAAUUUUACUAUUUUAUCAAAAUUAUAUUUGCCCCAACUUUUUUUUAACUACAAUAUUUUUUUUUCACCACAACCGUAACUUUUAAUAUAACUUAGGUUAUCAAAAUUUUGAGCUUCAUUCAACCAACCAUAACUAUCAUGAUCAAAGUCUACGUUGCUUGACUUUCAUUCAAAACCGGGGGGAUAUGUGGACUGGUCUCAAGGGUGUGUCCGUAAUAAGCCAUUGAAUUACUCAAGAAAAGAUGGUUUUAUCAAGUUUUCUGACCUCAAAUUGCCAGAUUCUACUUCAUCUUGGGUGAGCAAAAGUAUGAAUCUCAAGGAAUGUAGGGAGAAAUGCUUAGAAAACUCUUCUUGUAUGGCUUACACAAAUUCGGAUAUCACUAGAGGCGGCAGUACUGUGUUAUGUGGUUUGGUGAUCUGAUUGACAUCAGAUACUUCCAAAAUGGUGGGCAGGACUUGUAUAUUCGAAUGUCUGCUUCAGAGCUAGGUAUCCGUAUACUUAUUUAUGUCAUUCCAUUAUGAGAACUUGGGAGUACCACACUAGUUAGACUAGUUCCACAUUUUUAUUGUGCAAUUUAGUAUUGAGUUCUGAUUGAGAAGCUCCUUUCUCAUAAAGCAUUUUCUGGGUAUAGCUUCUAUGCAUAGAAUUUUGCUGCUAUUUGAAUCCUUUUUUUCAUAUCUAUAUGAUUAUUGACUCGCUCUGCUAUAUCAGAAUAUGCUGAUCAAGGAGCGAAAGUUUGACAUCAUUUCUUAAUCCUAGUGUCCAUCUCGAUCGUUUUGAUGGAACUAAUUUCACUCGUUGGAAAGGAAAAUUAUUUUUUCUCCUUACUGUUCUUAAAGUAGCAUAUGUUCUUGAUCCGAAAUUGGAACCAUUUCCAGAACCAAGAGAAGAUGAUACCGAAGUUGUUAAGGCUGCAAGGAAACGUCGUGAAGAUGAUGAAUUGAUGUGCCGGGGUCACAUACUCAAUACGCUUUCUGACAGGUUAUAUGAUCUCUACAAUUCUAUGACUUCUCCGAUGGAAAUUUGGAAUGCUCUUGAGUACAAAUACAAAACGGAGAAAGAAGGUACUGACAAAUUCCUUGUCUCUAAAUAUUUUGAAUUUAUUAUGGUAGACACAAAAUCCAUUCUUGAUCAAAUACAUGGGUUACAAAUUAUUGUUGCUAAGCUUCGAGAGUUAAAGUUGAAAUUUCUGAAUCAUUUCAAGUUGGGGCUAUUAUUGCUAAAUUGCCUCAAAGUUGGAAUGAUUAUAGAAAGAAACUCCUUCAUAGUAAAGAGAACAUAACCUUAGAAGAAUUACAAAAACACUUGGUAAUCGAAGAAGAGACAAGGUCUCGCGAAUCCAAGGAUAAGCAUGAUUCUAAUAAGGUUAAUGUUGUUGAAGCUAGUAAAAUUUCAAAGAAUUUUAAAGUCAAGAAUGACAAGAAAUUCAAGAAGUCCAGCACACAAAAGUUUUCUGGAAAUUGUUUCUUUUGUGGCAAGAAAGGUCAUCGCCAAAGUGAUUGCAGAUUCAAGAAGAAAAAGGAAGAAGUGAAUUCCCAUAAAGCUAAUGUUAUUGAAAACAAAUCUGAAGAGAUUUGUGCUAUGGUUUCUGAAAAGCAAAUUGGCAUGAUUACCGAAACCAAUAUGGCUGAAACUAAGUCCUAUGAUUGGUGGCUCGAUUCGAGUGCAACAAUUCAUGUUUUUAAUUAUAAGAAAUUUUUCUUAUCAUACAAAGAAGAAACGGAAGGACAAAUGGUUCUCAUGGGGAACAAUAAUGUAGCCAUGGUAGCGGGGAAAGGAGUAGUUGAGAUCAACUUCACUUCUGAAAAGAAAGUUACAUUGUAUAAUGUCUUUCAUGUACCUUCCGUUAGGAAGAAUCUUAUUUCUGCUAGUUGUAUGUGUAAGCAUGGGCUUAAGAUUGUGCUUGAGGGUAAUACUUGUAUUAUCUCAAAGAAUAGAUUAUUUGUUGGGAAAGGGUAUUCUUGUGAUGGAAUGUACAAACUCAGCAUUAAUAAUAAUAAUAUCAACUUAGCUUAUAUUAUUGAGUCUUGUGAUGUUUGGCAUGCUAGAUUAGCACAUUUGAAUUUUAGAUCUUUGAAAUACAUGUCUAAGCAUGGUUUGACUAAUUGCAAUGAUGUUAAAGGUCAUAAGUGUGAAAUCUACAUCCAAGCUAAAUUAACUAAGAAACCUUUUCCUAAAGCCGAACAAAAUACUCAAAUAUUGGAUUUAAUACAUACCGAUAUUUGUGAGUAUAAUGGCGUUUUAACAAGAGGAGGUAAGAGGUACUUUAUCACUUUUAUUGAUGAUUGUUCUAGAUACACUUACGUGUAUUUACUUAGAACAAAAAAUGAAGCUUUUGAUAAAUUUAAAAUUUUCAAAGCUGAAGUUGAGAACCAAAAAGAUAAGAAAAUCAAAAUGGUUCGUAGUGAUAGAAGUGGUGAAUAUUUCUGAAUUGAAUUUAAUAAUUAUUGUGAAGAAUUUGGAAUUAUUCACCAAAGAUCAGCUCCAUUUACUCCUCAACAAAAUGGUUUGGCUGAAAGGAAGAAUAAGAUCUUCACGGAUAUGAUAAAUUCCAUGAUCCUUAAUGCAAAACUACCAAAUAAUUUGUGGGGGGAAGCAUUACUCACUGCAUGUCAUAUUCAUAACAGAAUUACAUCUUUGAAAACACAUAUAUCUCCUUAUGAAAUUUGGAAAGGAAGAAAACCAAACUUGAUGUAUUUAAGGGUUUGGGGUUAUUUACCUUUUUAUAAAAUACAUGAUCUUAAAUCAUCAAAGUUAAGUGCUAGAGGUAUAAAGAGUGUUUUCGUAGGAUAUGCUGAAAAUUCCAAGGCUUAUAGGUUGUUAAUUCUAAUGUGAUUGUGGAAUCUAGAGAUGUUGAAUUUAUUGAGAAUAAAUUUCAACAUGAUUCUAAUAUUGAAUUAGAAUCAAUUAUUGAUCAACCAUGUGUUAAUACUUCUGUUACCUCCAUUAACAAUAAUAAAAGGAAAGAGUCUAUGACAUCUUUCGAACCAAUAAGGAGUCAACGUGAAAAGAAAGAAAAGAGUUUAGUUCCGGAUUUUAUUUCAUCACAAGCACUACUCUUCUUGGUUGAAGGGGAUAGAAAGAAUGUACUUAACAAAGUACCAUUGUUGUUAAAUAUUGAAAAAGAUCCAAAGACAUUUAGCGAAGCUAUGUCUUCUAGAGACGCUUCUUUUUGGAGAGAGGCGGUAAAUGAUGAAAUGGAUUCGAUUAUGUCGAAUCAAACAUGGGUCUUGGUUGAUCUUCCUCCAGGAUCUAAACCAAUUAGCAGCAAAUGGGUAUUUAGAAGAAAGUACAAUAGUGAUGGUUUUUUGCAAACUUGUAAGGCUAGAUUAGUAGCCAAAAGGUUUAAGCAAAGAAAUGGUAUUGAUUAUUUCGAUACAUAUGCUCCGGUAGCAAGGUUAACUUCUAUAAGAGUGCUAUUUGCAAUUGCUUCAUUGAACAAUUUGUAUGUGCAUCAAAUGGAUGUUAAAACCGUUUUUCUUAAUGGUGAUCUUGAGGAAGAAAUCUAUGUGGAACAACCUGAGGGAUUUGUUUUGCCAAGAAAUGAGAAAAAGGUAUGCAAGUUAGUCGAAUCACUUUAUGGUUUAAAGCAAGCACCAAAACAAUGGCAUGAGAAAUUUGAUUAGGUAAUUUUAUCUCAUGGUUUUAAGCAUAAUAAUGCUGAUAAAUGUAUAUAUUUUAAAUUUACGAAUGAUUUUGGUGUGAUUAUAUGCUUGUAUGUUGAUGACUUGCUUAUCUUUGGAACAAAUAUGCAAGGAGUAAAUGAUACAAAGAAGUAUUUAACUUCACAAUUUAAGAUGAAAGAUCUUGGUGAAGUAGAUACUAUCUUAGGUGUCAAAGUGAAAAAACAUAGUGGGGGUUACUCGUUGUGUCAAUCUCAUUAUAUAGAAAAAGUGCUUCUUAAAUUCAAUUAUUUGAAAUUUAAAGAAGCUAAUACCCCAUAUGAUUCUAGUAUUAAAUUACUAGAGAAUUCAGGCCGAGUAGUAGCACAACUAGAAUAUGCUAGUGCUAUUGGUAGCUUGAUGUAUGCUAUGCAUUGUACGAGGCUUGAUAUAGCAUUUGCAGUUUGCAAAAUGUCAAGAUUCACGAGUAACCUUAGUGUUGAACACUGGAAAACAAUUGGUAGGAUACUUGGUUAUCUUAAAAGGACCAUUAAUUUGGGUUUUUUUUAUAAUGAUUAGCCUGAAGUACUGGAAGGAUAUUCAGAUGCUAGUUGGGUAACCAAUACAAAAGAUAAUAAAUCCACUUCUGGUUGAAUUUUUACAAUUGCUGGAGGAGCGGUUUCUUGGGCUUCAAAGAAACAAACAUGCAUAACUCAUUCAACAAUGGAAAGUGAGUUUAUAGCACUUGCAGCUGCAGGCAAGGAAGCAGAAUGGCUGAGAAAUUUGUUGUUUGAUAUAAUGUUGUGGCCACAACCGAUGCCAUCUAUUUCUUUGUACUGCGAUAGUGAAGCUACAUUGUCUAGAGCUUAUAAUAAAGUGUAUAAUGGAAAGUCUAGACAUAUUAGCUUGAGACAUGAAUAUAUGAAACAAUUAAUAGCAGAUGGUGUUAUUAAUAUUGUUUAUGUUAGGACUAAUAAGAACCUAGCGGAUCCUUUAACAAAAGGUCUUACAAGAGACUUAGUUAAGGAUACAUCUUUUGGAAUGAGAUUGAAACCUUUAAAUAAUAAAGUCACCAACGAUGGUAACCCAACUAUGUAGUAGUUGUACUGCUACUCCAUAGUUAAAUGGGUAAUAAUAAGUUGUUGUUAUGUGACUGGUUUGGUACCGAGUAAUAAAUAAUCACAUUCGAGAUAUUCUGUGCAAAUAGCUAUGAGGUUGAGGUUGAGUAUUUACUCUUAAUGAAGUUCAAGUCUUAUAGUAGCUAAAGACAUGAUUUGAAACUUCAACUAAGUGAACAUAAGAAAUGGUGUCGUUUCUAACAAGAUCGUAGUUUAAUCUUGUAAAUGUUCAUGAAUCCAAGAUAGAGCACAAGGCCGGAAUAGUGCUAAAUAUUGGAACACAACUUCGAAAUCUGGGACAGCUUAUAUGUGAUGUAUCUCUAGUAUUUACUUAAGAGACAAAGUUUAAUGCUUAGCACACUAUUGUCUUGUAAAUACUUUGAAAUACACUCACUAAUUAAAGGUUAAAAUCGAAAGAUACCUUUUUGUAUGUAUAAGUUCAUCAUUAAUAAAUCUAAAAAAUAUUACAAUCUAGUGGGGGAUUGUAAGAGAGAUUGUAACAUUUUUCAAUAUUUGGUUUGAUAUUCUGGAAGAAAACGGUUUGCCGUUUUUGGAGAAAACGGCUAACCGUUUAAUUCCAGAGAGUAUGUUUUCUGUUCUAGAGAAAACGACUAACCGUUUAGAGAAAACAACUAACCAUUUAUUUACAGAGAGCAACUUAUUUGACAUUCUGGAAUAAAACGGCUCGCCGUUAUUGAGAAAACGGCUAACCGUUUAUUUCCAGAGAUCGUGUUUUUGCGUCAAUGGGAAAAACGGUUAGCAAGCUUGAAAAUUUCAAUUGUCUAUCGAUGCAAAUUCAAAUCAAAAGAGUGUCUUUGAAGAAGUACCAUUUCUAAUGGUUGUAUUCUUUCAAAUAAACAUCUUCUUCAUUAAAAGAUAGACACACAAUUAGAUCAAAUCAAAUUUUACAGGUUUCAUAUAUGUUCUGGAAAUACAAUCUUAUUUGCUAGAGAUUGUAUUCAGGAUUUGAUAUAUCUUGGGGGUAAUUUGCCAUUAAAACUCUAUAGCAAACCAAGAUUAGUGAGGGCAAAUAAAACCUUAAAGGAAAGUGUGCAAACACGUCUCAAAUCCUAAGAAAUUUUCUUUGUUCUUUGCCUCCAUAUUCUUAAAAUUCACCAACAUUUAUGUCUUGGCAGGGCACGCAAUUGGAUGGGCAGGAAAUUGCUGUGAAGAGGCUUUCGAAGAUUUCUGAGCAAGGAUUGAAAGAGUUAAAGAAUGAAGUUAUACGAUUUUCCAAAUUACAGCACAGAAAUCUUGUAAAGUUUCUUGGCUGCUGUAUUCAGGGAGAGGAGAAAUUGUUGAUUUAUGAAUUCAUGCCCAACAAAAGCCUGGAAUCUUUCAUUUUUGGUCUGGGUCCCUAUAACCUUAAAAUAUUCGGCUAGCUUGUGCCUUGAUUAUAGACUUUUCUUAUGUAUUUUUAGAAAAUUUUGUACUAACAUUAAUGUGGUAAUUUGUAGAUCAAGAAAGAUGUAAGAUAUUGGAUUGGUCCAAGCGCUUCCACAUUAUUUGUGGGACUGCUAGGGGUCUUCUCUACCUUCAUCAAGAUUCUAGAUUGAGGAUUAUACAUCGAGAUCUCAAAGCAAGUAAUGUGCUACUCGAUCAUGAUAUGAACCCAAAAAUUUCAGAUUUUGGUUUGGCAAGAGCUUUUGGUGGAGAUGAGACAGAAGGAAAUACAUACAGGGUGGUUGGAACGUAGUAAGUAUUUCUCAUCAUGUGAUCUUUACAAUUCACUUGCACUGAUUAAUGAAAUUUAACUAAUAUAUUCUAAUCCUCUGAAGUGGUUAUAUGGCACCGGAAUACGCUAGUGCUGGACAAUUCUCAAUAAAAUCCGAUGUCUUCAGCUUUGGAAUUUUAUUGCUGGAGAUAGUAAGUGGAAAGAAAAAUAGAGGAUUUUAUCAUUCCGACAAAAUAGAGGAUUUUAUCAUUCCGACAACAAGCUUAACCCUAUAGGACAUGUAAGUAAAAUGCAUACGACAUUUUCUAACAUAGUUUGAACUAAUAAACUAUAGAUGAUAAAAGAGUUUUAAUAUGUUGUAGGCAUGGAAGUUGUGGAACGAAGGCAUGCCUUCACAAUUAAUCGAUCUGUGUAUUCAAGACUCAUUCAAUCUUGCUGAAGUGAUACGAUGCAUCCACAUCGGUUUGUUAUGCGUGCAACAGCAUCCAGAGGAUAGGCCAAGCAUGCCCUCAGAGAUUUUGAUGUUGGGCAGUGAGACUGUGUUGCCUCAGCCAAAGCAACCCGGUACCUUGGCUGACAGGAAAUCUACCAGACUAGAUUCUUCAUCAAGCAUGCCUGAAUCAUGUUCAACUAAUACAAUUACGAUCUCUGAGUUGGAGAGUCGGUAGAAAAUCUAUUUGUGGUAUCAAGCCUUAUUCUACAUUGUCAAGUGCAAAAGGAGUAAUGUCUCAACCAAAUGGAAAGUUCAGAUAAAUGAUUGGAUAAAAAAUGAUGAGGAUCCUCCAAUGAUUGCAUGUUGUGGAUUUAAAUAGAACGUAGACUAAUGUUUAUAUAGAAAUUGUAAAUUAGAGGUAACGUGAGCAGUGUUGGAUCCAAAAAAAAAAAAAAAUGAUUAACCGAGAAUUAAAUUAAAUAAAAGCAAGACGUUAUAAUUUUUUUAAUAUCAAAUAUUUGCUAAUACAUUUAUGAGAAUAUCUUUGGUGCUUUUGGAGUAUUUUUAUCUAUUUACUAUUUAUCACGUGUGUAUAUAUGUCAUCAUGAUUAGUAGAAGCAUACGCAUGACAAAUAGUAAAUAAAAAAGGAGAAGCUCUCCAAGAGUACCAAGAUUGUUCCUACAUUUUAAAAACCUUGUGGAAUAAACUCAUUAUCAAUACUAUUAAAUACAUCAUUUUCUACAUAAACAACAAAAUUAACAUUCAUCCAUUCUUCUCUCAUUCGAUUUCAGAGUUGAUUGUUCAUGAACUUAAUUGUUGAAAAUGUUCUCUCUACUGUAGUUGUGGGAACCGGAAGAAUUAAAUCUAAGUGUCACCAACAAAUAUAUUAAGUUUGUAACUGAUUGACUUUUAUCUUUUUUAGUCUCAAAGUAUUCUAUUUGCAAAUCACUAAUUCCCUUCAUUCUUACAAACCCACCUGCUUGUUCUUUUCCUAAUAUAACCCAAUCCCUAAUUUUCUUUUAAGAACAAGAAAGAUAAAUUUUGUGAUUGAAGGAGUGGAUAAUUAUUUUUUUUAAUAAAUUUGAAUAUAUUUUUUGCAAUAGAAAAAUGGCUGUGGGUUAUUAUUAUUCUUAAAUAAAGUGUCAGUUUUAUAAUUCAAGUUAAAAUUUAAAUUUUAUUGGUUUAUGAAUGUAUAGAGACUAUUUUAAUAUAUUGAUGAAGGUUAAUUAGAAGCCCAAAUAAUUCUCUCUUUUAUUUUUUUAUUUAUUUUUUAUUUUUUGGUAGCUUGAGACUAUUUUAUUUUUAUUUUUAUUUUUUUAAUUUUAAUAUUUACUCUCUGCUCAGAAGUUGCUGUAUCCUUUCUUUGCAACAUGCUCUGUUCAGGCUUCAAUGUUGUUGGCUUGAAUUGGCAACUGAACUCGAAUCAAUUCUCAUGCAUGGGUUGGGGAAUUUGCUCAACUUAUAAUCGGUAGGUUUAUGCCUCUGAAUUCAGGCAUUGCUUGAGUAGAGUUGGGCUUGCUGAUUCAUUUUAGUGACAAAUGAAAACAUUAAAAAAAAAAUCAGGACUUGUUCGUCAAAAUUUACAGAUAUUUUGUUCUUUAAUUAAUUUUAUUGUAACAAACACAUAUUCAUAGAGAUGCCGAAUUCUCUAUCUUCAUCAUGAUUCCAAAUUGAGGAUUAUACAUAAAGAUCUCAAAGCAAGUAAUGUGUUACUUGAUAAUAAGAUGAACCCAAAAAUUUCAUAUUUGUUUGAGAUAAUACUGUUCACACUAUUCUUUUAAUUUCUUUAAUUAAAAUAACAAAACUAAAUAAAAAUGUAUAAUAUUUAAUAAAAUUAAAAAUUCAAGUAUGUUGCCGCCAAUGCUGAUGAACUACUAGCGAAAGUUCGACGGCAGCUAGCCACAGGUGGCUACUGCAUGACAUCAUCUUUUACGCUAAAAUUGGGUAUCAUUAAAAUUCUCAUUGUCGGGGCUUCACAGUAGUGCCAAAACCUUGGCUGUAGAUCGAUGGUGAAUGAAAAUUCCUUUGCUGAUGAUAGUUGACCAUUGCAUAGCCCUAAUAAUAAUGAUUCUAAUGAUAUCAAAAUAUAGUUCAAAUGGUACUAAAGUAGGAUGGUCAAUGGUGAAAAUUUUUAUUUUGAUUACAAAAUUUUAAAUUAUUAAUUGAAUGUAAAUAAUAAUAGAAUAUAAAUGAAACUUUGAUUAUUAAUUUAACAUAAAUAUUAAAAUAGAAAUUAUUGUUUUGAAUAAUACAAUGCAUGCUACAUCAAACAUCAUAUUGUAUUUCAGCUUAAUACAAUAUAAUAUAAUAUAAUACAAUAUGUCAAACGCACCCAUAAAAAAAAAGUCAAAAUCACAAUAUUAUUUGGUGGGCCUUACCUGCAUUAUCCUCAGUUUACUUUUUGUGUCAAAUAAACAAUAGGCCCCGGAGACUAUCAUGCUAUUGCUUUAGGUUUACAUACAACUACACUGAUCUUGGUAAAGAUGACAGUUUACUUUUUGCAUCAAAUACUAUGUUGGGAUUAAUUUUUUUAUAAAAUUAGUCUAUUCGACUGCCUUUACCUGCAUCCAAACAUACCCCAAUGGUUAACUAUGAGAAAAUUUUAAUAAAGACUUGCAAUUUGUUUACUUGGAAUUGGAAUGGACAAAAAUUGUAAUGAGCUGAAAUCAAAACAGGCUGGAAUUGAUCACAUGAGGAAUAAGAAUCAAAGUAAGUUGUAUACUUGAAUCCAAAUCAACAAUAUUCCAAUUGAUGUAUUUACUUAUGUCUUGUAAUCCAAAUGAGUUAUUACAAGUCAUAAAAAUGUCCUUAGUUCCACUCUUUCUAGACGUCAUGAUGAUAUACGUUUCAUCCAUCUGGUAAGCGAAGGAGUUAUUACAAGUUUAAAAAAAUGUCCUUAAUUACAAUUAUGUAUUUUUCUAUGUAAAAUAAAUAAGCAAACAGUUUAAAAGAAAACAUUGGCAUAUUUAUUAUAAUAUUGAGAGUAAUACAAUGAGUUUUUGAGUAAACUAGUUGUUGUUGUUGUUAUUUUAUAUUGAUAAUAACUACUAUUAAUAUUAUUAUUGUAGGGAAAUUAAACCCCUAACUUCCUAUUAAUUUAAUUCCCUCUUAUUACUAUAAGGGGAACCAAAGUUCAAAUACCAAGUUUUUGUUGUUGGCAGGACUCAAACCUAUGCCCCUCAACUUUCUAGGUAUAGGUUCUCCCAUUAGAUUACAAAGUCAGCUUGUGUUAUUGUUACUACUAAUACUAUUAAGAUUAUUUAAUUAUGUAAUAGGAAUAAAAUCAAAAUUUCAAAAUUUAAGGGAUGGUAAAAUAAUUAGUUCAGAAAAUGAAAAUCGCAUUCCCACCUUCCCAUAGAAAUAAGAUUCUCAUUUCCACCUUCAAAAUUUGGUGGGCCUCGCAAAUUUCAUUCACAUUCUCAAAUAUCAAAUAAGCAAUUAAACAAUGGAAUCAUUUCCAUUCCUCCAUUCUUGACUCCCAUUCCAAGAAGUUAAUAACCUUUAAUAGAACGUUCAAAUGAAAAGACUAGCCAGGCCCAGAGAACUGACAUCGAUCAAUUAUCUCUUCCGGAUUAGAAUUAUAUGUUAUUUAUUUUGUCUUUUUUUUCUAAUUCAUAUAUUGUUGAAAAGUCAAUAUUGGUGAUUUGUUUAUUCAAAUUGGUUGAAAAAAAAGAGGUGAGCCACAUGCAUAAUUGACUUUUGGAGGAGUUAGUAACCGCAUGCAUGAUUUCUUUAAAAAAUGAAGAAUUUUUACAACUUUAUGAAGACGUAUUUGAUGCAAUUGAAGAGUUUUUCAAAAGGUAGAAAUGGUGGCCAAAAUCAUUGAAAUAAUUGCAUGCAAAUUGGAUGUUAGGUGCAAGCUUGGUGCCUAUAAAUAGAGAGCAUUUCUUCAUUCCAUUUCAUCCCAAAAAUUAAUUUGAGAGUUUAAGAGAAAUUGCAAAUGAAGUAAUUUUAGAGUUUUGAGAGUGUGAGCAGUUGGAGAGUGUGUGUGAGAGUACUGAGUGUAUUUAAGUUUUUGGAAAUUGAGGUUUCUCUACUCAAAUUUGUGCGCUAAUAAUUGUUAGUAAUACAAUUAUUUUUCUCUUGUUCCCGUGGACGUAGGCAUACUGCCGAAUCACGUGAAAUUCCGUGUCCUUUAUUUUUCUGUGAUUAUUUGGUGCGUUUGAUUUCGCAUUCCGCGCACAACAUAUAUGAUUACUCUUAAAUCUCAAAAAGCAAAAAAAAAUUCCCAUUAAUAAAGAUCCAUUGCAACUUGUAGACAAAUACAAAAUAGAAAAAUUUGUAUUCCUAGUCCUCUGCCACGUUAAGAGACUAUCAUUUUUCUUACCUAUGAUCGAAGCUUCAUUUGGAGGAUAUGCUGUACAAAUGAUUUAGCUCAUGUGAUUAAUAAAUAUAUACGAUCAUAAUUAAUUUCCAGCUUCUAGGGAAGUUAAAAUCCUUAUUUUUCCAUUUGUGUUUUAAGCAUGGUUUUUUACAAUUUUAUAUUUAAGUUUAAUAAAUUAAAUAGUACGUGUGUAUCAUUUCAUUAUGUUUAUGUUUAUGUCUCUAUCUUUAAUUUUAAGGAUGCUAUAUAUAUUAACUCAUUUUUCUAACAUGAGUAUCUUGCAGCAGGGUUCGAAUAGGAUGACGAUGGGAACAAGAAGACAUGAUUUCUAUUAGAGCAUAUUCGACUGAUUUAUAAAAUUAUACCAAUAUAAAUUCAUUAUUAGUUAGAUGAGAAAUAAGAAAUUCAAUUCUAUAAAUUAACUAAUGUACAACAAAUGAUUUACAAGGAUGACCCAAGUAAACUAUCAGUCAAAGUCAAUGAAUAUAUGCUCGUGGCAAUGUAUAUUCUAUAAAUGAACUCGUGUCAAUUGUGAUCACACUUGGAAUCUCCCCGGCAAAAAAUUUUCCGUUGAUGACAACCGAUUGCAACUUACAGACAGAUACCGAAAAUAUAAUUAGUAUUCAAUGUCCUUUCUGAAGUUCUACACGUAAUUUAGCGAUUUCACAUACAAGUGCGGCUUAUCUGCUCAUCAUUGCUCUGCUCCUUUUUGUUUUUAUUUUUAUUUUUUUGUUUUUUGUUUUUAACUGCUGCUCAUAUCUGCCGGUGGGGUUUUUCGAAAUUAUUGAUUAUUCUUUCCUUUGAAAUUAAUAUAAAAAAAAAGCUCCAUAAUUUUUCUGUGUAAUUUAAAACUAUUGCACGACGUUUUCUAUUCGGCCAUCCAUUAUUUAAUUGAUAACGGCCCAGCAGGCAUAUGGCUAGAAAUUCUCUUCUUCAAUUUUAAUUAGAUUUCAUGUAAACUUUUCUCAGUUCUCAAUGUUUGCGGACAUAAUAAUAAUAAUAAUAAUAAUAAUGUAUUACAUCUCAAAUUGUCUUCAUUAUAAUAUUUGGCCCUAAAACUAAUAAAACUAAUAAAAAUAAAGAGUAUAUAAUAACUUAUUUUGAUAGAUAAUGCUAGAAUUGCCUUUCAAAAAAAAAAAUAUAUUUAGAUUUAGAGGUGCAACUGAAUACAGCACUUAGAUAUUCUAAAGAUAUUAUACUGAAUUUGUUAUUUACUUAUUAUUACAAUUUUGUUUUGUAAUGCUGUCAAGUUUGUUAGAGCAUCUCCAAAAGAUUUUUUAGAUUUUACUCUUCAAAUAUCAAUUUGCUUAUUGAUGUGGCAAAUAAGUGGAUGAAAAAAUACAAUCUUCUCCAAAAGACUCAUCAAAUAAGAAUAAGUUAACAUUAUUUCAAUCAAAUCUUUCCACUAUUAAAUUAAAUUGCUGUUAUGUUUUUGAAGGGAAACAUAAAUAAUAAUUAUUGCAGUCUUAUCUUUUCAAUAAAUAAUAAUAAAAUAUUAAUAGAAGAGGGAGAAACUCACUCGGCAAUAUUGAAGAGUGAGAAACAAAUCUUAUUUGAAAAAUCAAAAUUAACGUAUUUUUUGGAAUGUUUAAUAUUGAUAUGACUCUUCGAAUAAAAAAUAGAAUUUUAUUUGAAAAAUCUUUUAGAGAUGCUCUUAGAGAAGAUAUUCUUAGCCGUUUUUUAAAUUUCUCUAUAACUCGCUUGAAGGAGUAUUUAAAGAAAUGAAUAAAUAAGAAAAGGACAGCUCCCUUAAAUUUAAAAUACAAUUCCUCUAUUUUCUCUAGUCUCUAUUCUUCACUCUUUCUAAUUCUAGAGGACUCCACCCUCUAAAGUGGAAACUAAAAUUCCAGAACUUCCACUUGAAAUCCAAGUUGGAGAAUUUUAAAUGUUCUUUGGCAGAAGAAUUACGAGCUGUACUACUUACCGAACGUUAGUACGCACCUCGAUGGGGGAAACUCUUUUCUUUUUGGCUUUUGGGACUGAUUGUUGGGGAAAAAUCAGGUUUUUAAAAUUUUUAUAAAACCUUUUGAAGAUCGCUCUCAUAUAAUAUAUAAGAAUUUGUAAUCUAGAAAUCGUACCUUGAAAAUCCGAUUUGGCUUUUUCCGUUGAAGUGAUUUAGGCUCCUAGAUCACGAUCCGCCACCACCACUCCUGUUAGAUCACGAUCCGUCACCACCACGCUUGUUAGAUUACGAACUGUCACCAAUGAUCUUCCAGGUUAUGACUCAGGUUCGAUCUGCACUUGACGUGUGGGCGCCUUUAUCACUACCAAAGCAACUAGCACGAGAAAAAUUUUCUCUCAACAAUAGAGAGAAAAAUCUUUUUCUCUGAUCUGUAUAAAGUGGCUACCCUAUUUUCUUUCGAGAAAAUAAGCCUUUUAUAUCACCCUUUAGUGAAAACCCUAGGCUCCAAAUAAUCAAAAAACAAAAACUCACGCUUUUUCUAUAGGUGACCCACCUUGUAAAAUAACAUAAGGCCCCUUACACAAAAGCUAAUUAAAUGGAGCCUCCCACUAAAUGAUAUAUUUAGGCUUUUGACCCAAAUAGCUAGUUAUCUUACUUAUUAGUCCAGUAGUGGUGCAGUCAAUUAAAUGAGCUAACCUAGGGAUCAUUUGGGAACAUACAAUAGUGGCUACAAUAAUUAGGCCUGUAAUUAAACUAGCCCAAUUAUUUAAUUCCAAAUCUACUCCACUAAAAUAUUGGAACUGACUUCCAUAAUUGUAUGCUCGAAUAAUAAUUCGUCCCAAGCCACAUUGAUUUCUUUACUGCACAAUCGUUUGUACCACAUCGUUAAUUAAAUUGAUAUCUCAACUGUCCAAUCAAUUUAAUAACAUCUUAUUCCUUGAUCCUUACUGGUUUUCUCUAAUGAUCAUUUUCAACAUACUAAAUAUGUUGACACACUCUGACCAGAGAAUUCUAUGAUCAAGUGCCGAAAACCCAUCAAGAGAUGUGUUGUACAAAUUCUAUAUUGUUAAUCCAUAACUCCAAUACUCAUAAUUGCUCCCACCAAGAUACCGGGUAAUCUUGACCACAAGGAUGUGUCGUGCCCAUUGGUAACUCAAAUGGAAUAACAAUUACAAUCAUGAAAUCAUAAUUAACUCAAGAUUAAGAUUACAGUAAAAUCAAUGCCUAUGAGAUUUAAUAAGUCUGACAGUUAUUACAAAGUUAAUUAAACCUCAUAUGUGAUCCUGUUCAAUGUAGUCGUACUACAUCAAUAAAUUCAUACAUGAUUAAGACAAAUCAUUCAAUGAAUUUAUUACAGUCUAUACCUAAAUAAAGUGCCCAACUUUAUUUAUCAACUGCGAACUAAAUUUAUUUAAUCAUAAGAUAACUUGUAUUUAUGUCUUAUGUGAAUCCACAUGCUGAUUGUUGAGUGAUAGAAAAUGUAUAUUUAUAAAGGAGAAAAUCGUUAUUUUACACUUCAAGUUUUACUAACACCCUUACUUUUAUGUAUUUAACCUUCUUUUGAUUUAAUUCCGUGUGUUUUAUUUUAAUUAAGUAUUUUAUGUAUUUUAGGGGCAUCAUAGUCAUUUCACAAUGAACGAGAGAUCAGACGGCAAAACAGACAUCAAUUUUGAACUCAGGACGGUCGAAAACCUUAGAAGGAGCAUAAAAGGAAAAAUGGCACUGUUCACAUGUACGGUACUGUCUACGUUACUGUUCACGACACUGUUCAUAUAGAAAGAUCGAUGAUGUGGCAUUGACCGAUGAGGUGUCACAAUCCUGUUGGACUAAAAUUCUUAUGCACUGUUGAUCGAUGACGUGGCAGCAUAUCAGUGGACCAGAAAUAUCGCGUACGGUACAUGCAUUACACAGGAUUAUUUUCAACCAAACCGCGUUACUGUUCAAGCCGGGUCAAACCGUGUUACUGUUCACCCGCGUGGUCAAACCGCGUACUGUUGACUGAUGACGUGGCGCAAUCCUGAGCGUCCAAACUGUUUUUAAUCCGAUGGCUAUGAUUUACUCCAUGUAUCUAUAAAAAGGGGGCCUCCCCCCCCUAAUUUUAUAUCUCUGAAUCCAUUUUUGGACUCCAUUUUCUGUAAUUCAUUCUCUAUCUUGUAUUUUCUACGUAUUUUAAUAAAUUUCCAUUUUGCCCCUAGUUCAAUUAUGAGUGGCUAAUUUUCUUUCAAGCUUGGGUUGAAGGUGAAGUCUUAACAUGUGUCAUGGGCUUUAUUUGGUAAAUUUAUUUUCUCUUCCCCUCUAGUUUUUGUGGAUGUUUUGACUUCUCGUCGACAAAUAAUAAUAAUCUUGUCUAGUACCGCCCUGGUUUCACCGGCUCCCUAGUACAAGGUUAUUAUUAUUUGGCACGAUAAGCCCUUAGCACCAUAUUGAUUAGAGUGUGGUUCAUGAGGUGUGGAUUCCCCCCUCAUGAUUUAAUUGGUAUUAAUAAGGAAUAUUUAGCCCAUGAUGCAUGUUGAUAUGGAUCCAGAUACCCAAGUAUGUCAUUUUAAUAGAUUUCUAUUCAAUUUAUUCUCGCCAUUUAAAUUCCAAUUUUAGGAUAAUCCAAAUCAUUUUCACCACAAAUCCAACCACCUUCAUACAAAAUUAAUUCUACAUAUAAUUAAAAUCCACUUCCUCGUGGGAUCGACACUCGUCACCAUUGAUCUAUACUACAAUAGAUUCGUGCACUUGCGAGUUCAAUAAAAUUUGCACAACAAGUUUUUGGCGCCGUUGCGGGGGAGGUAAGUUAUUUUAAUUUGUAGAAUUAAUUUUUGUGAAUAAUUUCUUUUAUUUGUUUUCUUGUAUUUUUUUUUCUUAUUAAAAAAAAGAAAAAAAGUGAAUCUAUAUUUAGAGGUAAUAAUUUCUUUUAUUUCUCUAUUCUUUACAAUUCUGCAAUUUAAUUUUUAAGUUAUUUUUCUUUGUAAUUUUUUUUAUUAAUUUAUUUUCACGUAUUUUUUUAGUGUGUUUUUAUAGUAAGGUUGUAAUAGCGCAAUAAGGUUAGUAUCGUAAUUUCUCCCUCUUCUUUAUUUUUAUUUGUUUUGUUCCCAUCUUUAUUUUUAUUUUAUUUGUUUUGCAUGCAUGGUCGUAGGUCAUUAUUACCUAAUCUUGAACUUAUAGACCUUGAACUAGAAAAAACACUUCGCGCACACAAGCACGUUAAAAAUAAAUUUGGAAUGGAUUUACAAGCACCACAGGAGAGGCCAUUUAAGGACUAUUUUAGUCCUUCAGCUAACUUGAGCACAUCAUGUAUAAGAUACCCAAAUAUAGCUGCUAGGAGCUUUGAACUAAAAUCUAGUGUGCUAAAUUGUCUCCCCACAUUCUAUGGCUUAGAAAAUGAGGACCCAUAUAAUCAUCUGAAUGAUUUUCAUGCUAUUUGUCAAACAUUUAAAUAUGAGAAUUUUUCAGACGAUGAUAUUAAACUCAUAUUAUUCCCAUUUUCUUUAAAGGAUAGAGCUCGUUCAUGGUUAAAUACUUUGCCUGCUAAUAGCAUUACAUCAUGGGAACAAAUGGUAACUAAAUUUUUGAAUAAAUAUUUCCCAGUGCAUAAAACCAAUGCUAUUCGCAGGGAAAUUUCAGAGUUUACACAGAGAGAAGACGAGCAAUUUUUUGAAACAUGGGAGCGAUUCAAUGGGCUACUCUUGAAGUGUCCACAUCAUGGGUACGAGAAAUGGCACUAAUGCCAAUACUUUUUGGAGGGAUUAUUGCCGAAUGUACAAGAAUGGCUAAUGGCAACAAGUGGAGGAGAGUUAAUGUCAAAAAGUGCAUCAGAGAUUUGGGAAUUCUUCUAGUGACAAGCGGAUAAUUCCCAACAACGAAGUCGAUCGCUUAGGAAUACUAAAAGAAUUAAGGGAGUAAAUGAGGUUCACAUUGGCGAGUCAAGUUCAGAAAUUAAAGAAGUCAAAGCGAUAAUUGAAGGUCUCUCUCGAUAAAUAGCAUCGUUAUCGACUGCUAAAUCAACAGAGUCAUAUGACCAUGACUCAUGCUCAGAUCAAGCUAAUGCCAUAGGUGUAAUGAGAAAACCAUCAAAUUACAACCCAUACUCCAACACAUAUAACCCUGGAUGGAGAGACCACCCCAAUUUUUUAUGGUCUCAAGGAUUCCAACAGAAUGGACCAGCAACUCCAGCUCCACCAAUGCAACAAAUUCCUCAAGCCUCUCAGCCACCAUUUAGACCACACAAUCAAAACCAGAACUACUCUCAACCCAGACCAUGAGAGGAUGCAUUCCAGAAUUUCAAGAAUGUUACUCACUCCACGAUUGAGCAACAGAACCGCACCAUUGAUGGACUACGAAAUGAGUUGAGAGCAGGCUUCAACUCACAAGCCCAAUCAGUUUCAAGCCUUGAGAAGAUGGUGGGACAACUUGCUUCUUCAGUUCAGACUUUGGCAAUGACAAUUGAGAAAGGUAAAUUUCCAAGCCAACAAGUGUCUAAUCCUAAAGGAGUACAUGAAGCAAGUAUCAGUUCACCACAGCAGCAUGGAGAGGUCAAAGCUGUCAUGACCUUGCGAAAAGGAAAAGAAGUCGACAACAAACUGGAGAUGCCGGUGACAAAAGAAAAUCAAAUUGUACCUGUAAAUACUGAGGACUCAUCACCGGAGGAGAAAGAAGAAACCAACCCACGAGAAUAUGUUCCCAAAGCUCCAUUUCCUCAGAGGUUAACUAAAGGAAAGAAGGGAAAUCCACAGGUGAGAUUCUUGAAAUCUUCAAACAGGUAAGUGUUAACAUCCCUUUACUUGAUGCUAUAAAGCAAGCUCCAUCUUAUGCCAAGUUUCUUAAAGACCUUUGUACUAAAAAGAGAAAUAUUCAUGGUCAAAAGAAGACAUUUUUAAUAGAAAACGUUAGUUCUAUACUCCAACAUAAAAUUCCUCUAAAAUGCAAAGACCUAGGCUCCCACACUAUCUCAUGUAGCAUAGGGAACCACACAAUUGAGAAUGCUUUGUUGGAUUUAGGAGCUAGUGUAAAUCUGUUGCUUUACUCAGUAUUUUUGAAACUUGGACUUGGAGAAUUACACCCAACUUCAGUGGUGUUACAGCUUGCAGAUCGGUCCACGAAAAUACCUCGUGGUAUUGUGGAGGACGUGCUUAUCCAGGUAGACAAGUUUUAUUUUCCGGUUGAUUUUAUUGUAAUUGACACUCAACCAAUACAGGAUUCAAGGAAGCACAUCCUCAUUAUCCUCGGCCGACCUUUCUUGGCAACUGCGGAUGCUCACAUUCAAUGCAGAACUGAAAAUAUGCAGUUGUCCUUCGGCAACAUGACUAUGGAACUGAACAUCUUCAACAUUGCCAAACAACCUCAUAAUGCAGAUGAUGAAAUUGUUGAUGUGGAUUUAAUUGAAGCAUUAGUUGAUGACACUUUUCUUUCAAACCUUAGUGAUGAUCCUUUACAAACAUGCUGAACUCACUUUGGUUUGGAUUUUGAUAUUUACAGAUCAGUCGAUGAGGUCAACUCCCUGCUUGACUCAGCACCAUCCAUGGACACUAAUAAAUGGAAGUCAAGAGUUGAAUAACUAGAACCAUCAGAAAAGAAACUUAUCCCAUCAUCAGAAUCACCACCGAAACUCGAGCUCAAACCAUUACCCAACACUUUGGAAUAUGCAUUUUUGGGAGAAGAAAGUACUCUACCGGUAAUCAUCUCAUCAUCCUUAAAUGACGAACAAAAAGGUAAGUUGUUGGAUAUUUUCAAAGAGCACAAAGGAGCAUUAGGAUGGAUUAUAGUAGACAUCAAAGGUAUAAACCCAGUAGACUGCAUGCAUUACAUUCACCUCGAUGAAAAUGCUAAAUCUACUAGGGAAAUGCAACGUCGGUUAAAUCCUAAUAUGAAAGAAGUUGUUAGAACUGAAGUCCUUAAGCUAUUAGACGCAGGUAUCAUUUACCCAAUUUCUGAUAGUUCAUGGGUCAGUCAUGUACAAGUUGUCCCUAAAAAGUCAGGAGUCACAGUAGUUACCAAUGCUGAUAAUGAAUUGAUACUAACUAGAGUAACUACAGGAUGGCGUGUAUGCAUUGAUUAUAGAAAAUUGAAUUUUGUCACACGUAAAGACCAUUUUCCUUUACCAUUUAUUGAUCAAAUGCUUGAUAGAUUAAUAGGCCAUGAAUUUUAUUGCUUUCUAGAUGGCUACUCAGGAUAUGAUCAGAUUUCCAUAGCAUCAAAAGAUCAAGAGAAAACCACUUUCACUUGCCCUUUUGGCACUUUUGCAUAUAGGAGGAUGCCAUUUGGAUUAUGUAAUGCACUUGCUACAUUUCAACGAUGCAUGUUGAGCAUUUUUUCUGAUAUGGUUGAACGAUUCCUUAAAGUCUUUAUGGAUGAUUUUUCUGUCUUUGGUGACUCGUUUGAUCAAUGUUUACAUCAUCUAACAUUAGUUCUGCAGAGAUGUGUCAAGAAGAACUUAGUCUUAAAUUGGGAGAAGUGUCAUUUUAUGGUAAAACAAGGUAUUGUUCUCGGUCACAUCAUUUCAAGCAAAGGUAUUGAGGUUGACAAAGCCAAUGUGGAUCUCAUUUUUAAUCUUCCUCCACCCAAAACAGUCAGAGAAGUAAGAUCUUUCCUUGGGCAUGCUGGUUUCUAUAGACGUUUCAUUAAAGAUUUUAGCAAAGUUUCUAGACCCUUAUGUAAUUUACUUGCUAAGGAUGUACCAUUUAUCUUUAAUGAUUCAUGUCUUGUGGCUUUUGAAAAAUUAAAGCAAUCGUUGACAUCAUCACCCAUCAUUCAGCCCCCAAACUAGAGCUUACCAUUCGAGCUUAUGUGUGAUGCAUUCGAUUAUGCAGUAGGAGCAGUAUUAGGACAAAGAGUUGAUCGAAUUCCCCAUGUUAUUUACUAUGCUAGUAUGACAUUGAAUGAUGCACAGUUGAACUAUUCAACUACUGAAAAAAAAUGCUAGCAGUAGUGUUUGCAUUGGAAAAAUUUCGAUCUUAUCUCAUUGGUUGUAAAAUAAUUAUAUUCACAGAUCAUGCUGCUAUUAAAUAUCUUCUCACAAAGAAAGAUGCAAAAGCUAGACUAAUUCGUUGGGUGUUACUUUUGCAGGAGUUCGACUUGGAAUUUAAAGAUAAGAAAGGCACAGAGAAUGCUGUAGCUGACCAUCUCUCUCGUCUCCAUUUUGACACAAUUAUGGAAUCAUUACCAUUGAAUGAGUCAUUCCCAAAUGAACAAUUGAUGAGUGUGGAAGUAUUACCAUAGUAUGCUGAUAUCGUUAAUUAUCUUGUUACAGGUCAACUUCCAGAGCAUUGGACCAAGCAAGACAAGGCUAAAUUCUUUGCGGAAAUAAAGAAUUUCUUUUGUGAUGACCCGUAUUUGUUCAAGUAUUGUGCAGAUCAAAUUGUUAGACGAUGUGUCCUAGAAAGUGAAAUUCAAAAUAUCCUUUCAUUCUGUCAUGAACAAGCUUGUGGAGGCCAUUUCAGUGCUAAGAAGACAGCUACUAAAGUUUUACAAUGUGGUUUCUAUUGGCCAACUAUAUUUCGAGACGCUUACACUUUCUGUUCUUUAUGUGAUAGGUGUCAACGAAUAGGGAGCAUUACACGAAGGAACAUGAUGCCACUAAAUUCAAUUUUAGUGGUUGAGAUUUUUGACGUAUGGGUUAUCGACUUCAUGGGACCCUUUCCCCCUUCUUUUGGCCAUCAAUACAUAUUGGUUGCUGUUGACUAUGUAUCAAAAUGGGUAGAAGCAAUUCCAUGUAGAACCAAUGAUCAUAAAGUGGUGAUAGGAUUUUUGAAAAGUAAUAUUGUUUCACGCUUUGGAUUCCCUCGAGCAAUAAUCAGUGAUGGUGGUGCCCACUUUUGUAACAAAGCAUUCAAAGCUCUUUUGACAAAGUAUUCAAUCACUCAAAAAGUGGCAACCCCAUAUCAUCCGCAAACCAGUGGCCAAGUUGAGAUCUCCAAUCGAGAAAUAAAGCACAUAUUAGAAAAGAUGGUGAGGCCGGACAGAAAAUAUUGGUCAUUAAGACUUGAUGAUGCAUUAUGGGCAUAUAGAACAACGGCUUUCAAGACCCCGAUUGGGAUGUCACCCUACAGGCUAGUGUAUGGAAAAGCUUGCCACCUAUCUGCAGAACUCGAGCAUCGUGCAUAUUGGGCUAUCAAGAAAUUCAACUUUGACAUGCAGCAAGCCAGCUCAGAAAGAAGAUUACAGCUGGGAGAAAUUGAAGAAAUUCGCAAUGAUGCAUACGAAAAUGCCAAGAUUUACAAGCAACGAAUGAAAGUCUUCCAUGACAAGCAAAUUAUGAGAAAAUCUUUCACUCCAGGUUAGAAAGUGCUUUUAUUCAAUUCUCGCUUGCACCUAUUCCCAGGUAAGUUACGCUCUCGAUUGUCUGGCCUCUUUAUUGUUCAUACUAUUUUUCCACAUAGGGCAAUUAAAAUAAAAGACCCAAAGAACGGUGUUACGUUUAAAGUUAAUGGUCAAAGAUUAAACCCAUAUCUAGAGUACCAACCACAUGGAGAAGACACCGAAAUAAAUUUGAGUGACCCACUAGAUUUGAAUUGAUUUUUUUUUCUUUUCGGUGAUUUGAUUUUUUUUCUUUCUUUUUAUUAUUUUUUAUUUGCUAAUUGAAAUUAUUUUUGUAAAAGUGUGUUUGUUUAACCAUUAAGUUUUUUUUCUUAUCAUUGUUAAUCAUGAGUACCAUGCUUAAACCGUUCCUCCUGAACAUUCUUAAACCACUUCAACGUGUAAAAUCUCAUCUCAAAAGGCAGAUUCAAUUUUGUAAAACACAUCGCAUUUGGGCUCUGCAACCACCAGAGUUAGUAUCCUAUGUUAAGGGUUUAGAAAGCCAACUCAGAGACAUUGAGAGAAGUGUUUAUGACAUCCAGUUGGAGCUUGAGGUAAAUUCAAUAAGAGGACGAUUUUAAUUUUCUUUGUGUGUUUUAAUUUGUUUUUCUGUUUGUGUGCUUUAGUUUGUUACCCCGGUGAAGUGACGGAUAACGGUACUCCGUGACAAUCAAGUCGGUUACUUCAGUUUCCCAUAAUAACUGAUAUUCUGAGGCGAAGGUAUGGACAGAAACGAGAUUCUAGCGAAACUUCACAAGCGAUUCCCUUCACUUCCUCAGAAUGCCCUCCUUACAAUCUAUAAAGCCCGGUUCGAACGCAUGUGAUUGCUCAUAAGGAAUAACAUACCUGCUGACAUCCGUUGGUUAAUCGAGGCUAAAGUAUGAUUGGCAGGUGAGUUACCUCCAAAAUUUAUUGCAUACAUGCCUGAUUGUGGUAAAGGAAAUUAUGCAAGAAAACAACGAGCUCGAAGAAUUUCUAUUGCUUUUCAUAAGUGUGCCAGAAUGAGUUGCGAUAAAAACCCAUGUUCUUUAGGAAUGGUGUCUGAUAACAAGGAAGAUAAGAUUCAAUUCAUUAGGGAUGGCUUGAAUAAGGAGUCAUUGGAUGAUAUCCUUCUGUCUCUUGAAACGCAUCCCAGUGGAUAUGUGCAAGGAGCGAUUCUCCAGUUAUGGCCAUUAUUCCAGAAAGAGCAUGCACGAUAUAGUCUCGGGAAUCUGACUAUAAACGAUCUUGUUUGCCAGUUUAUAAGAAAACUGGAUGGGAAGCCCAUCCUCGACCCAUAGAGGGCGUUCAAGCCGUUUCUGGACGUAAAACCAGAGGAAGAUAUAAGCCACAGUCGCAACUACCUAUAAAUAUCCUUUUACUUCACUGCUAUUUUAUUUCACUGUUGUUUUAUCUUUUCCAUUAUUGUCAUUAAUAAUUUUAUUUGACCAUUGUUUCUUUUUCUUUUUACUGUUUUCUUUUUGACUCGCGAGCCAUGUGCUUUACGCGUUAUUUGACACUGACAUGCCAUCUCAUACACAGUUGUGACCCACUGUCACCAAGAUUCUUAAAUAAGACUUUUUGUUAAGCACUCACAAAUUGUUUUUGAGAAAUAUUCCAAUGGCAGUUACUCCCAAUAGACAAUUCAAGAACAUUUGUGUGCUUUCUGGAUUUAACUAUGGCAAACAUAAAGAGUUCGUUGAGGCAGCCGUAGAUCUUGGUCGAAGCAUAGCAGAGAGAAAAUUACACUUGGUGUAUGGAGGAGGUAACCGAAGGUUAUCAAAAUUGGUUUCAGAAGCUGCUUUUGUCAGAGGAAGCCAAGUGUUAGGCAUCAUCCCAAGAGUCUUAAAACCUUUGGGCAGUUUGUCUGACUCACCGACUGGAGAAGAGUUAGUCGUCUCAGGUAUGCAAGAAAGAAUAACUGAAAUGCUUAAUCAUGCUGAUGCUUUUAUUUUCCUUCCAGGAGAUCGUGCAACACUAGAGGCACUUAUCACACUAGCAUCUUGGGCCCAUCUGCACAUUCACCAGAAACCCAUUGGUUUGUUAAAUGUCAAUAAUUUUUAUGAUGGCUUUAUCGCAUUUCUUAACCAUGCAAUAAAAAACUAUUUCGUUCAUUCCAAUGCCAAAAAGCUUUUUAUUUGUGCUCACACUGCUAAUGAGCUACUUGAUAUGUUACAAGCUUAUAGAUCGGAGCCAAACCCCUGGACCUUUGUGUUAGAGCGUCCAAAUAAUGAUGGUAACAGUAGCCGCAGUAAGAAGUACAAAUUAGAUUUAACUCUCCACUUGUAAAUAUUUUCUUCUGUGUUGCACCACCCAGGUGAUGUCUUCUAAACUCUACUUCUUUCCUUUCAAACAUUGAGGACAAUGUUUCGUUCUGGUUGGGGGGAGGGAAUAGUCGACAAUUGUGGAAUCUUGGUUAAGUUUUUACUAAUUUUUUGUUGUAGAAACUAACUGUUGCUAACUUUUUGUGUUGAAGAUGGCUGAAUAUGGAGUGUAGUGACUCUAGAAACGCAUUUUCAUCGUUUGAAAAAAAAAUUCAAAAAAAAUUCAAAAAAUUCAGACAUUUUCUUUUUCUUUAUUAAGUUUUGAUGUUCAUUUUUCUUCUUCUUUUUUAAUUUCUUCUUUAUAAAUAUACAUUUUUAAAUAUUUGAGUCGAAGAUGGCUGAAUUGGAGUAUAGUGCUUCUAGAAACGCAUCUUCUUAGUUAAAAAUAAAAAAUUAAAAAAAAACAUUUCUUUUUCUAUCAUUUUAAAUGUAACUUUUCUAAUUAAUUUUUCUGCAUCAUUUUCACAUUUCUGCAUACAUAUUUUCCUUUCAUGUUUAAAAUAUGUUGGGGGGUAGAAUGUUGUUUUAAAAUAAAAAUUGUGUGAUUUGUUUUAACAUUGGAUGACAUGAUUCAUUUCAAAUUUUAAUAUUUGUAUUAUCUUUGGUCUUAAGUGAUGUUACACUAUGUUUGCUACUCUACAUGUUGAUGUCGAAGACAAAUAUAAGUUGCUUGAAGGAAUGAACAUGUCAUAAUAAGUACCAAGUGAGUUUUUGAGCCUAUCCUUUUUCUUGGAGAGUAACCCUUUUGCCCAUUCUUUAUACAGCUUAGCAGUUUAUUAUUGUAUACACGAUCUCUAGAUUUCUUUUGAGUUAACCCUUAAAAAAAAAAAAAUGUGUGUUACUACAUUUGGAGGCCCAUCUAACUAGUAGAUAUGGAAGGUUAUUUAGAACCCUAAAAGACGAUGAAAAGGCCAUCUUUGAUCCGUUUGAGCCUUUCUAGCCAUCCAUUUUAUCAAAUAUCCAUAGUUAACCAUUUUGAGCCUUAAAAAAAAAAAAACUUUUCUUUGUCAAACUUAUCAUCUUGACCCACUCCGAUUUGGAGUAUUACCCAAUAUCUUACAAGUUCCAUCACCUAUUUAUGUUUGAGAAAAAUGUAAAUAAAUAUUUUGUAUAGUGAAGUAAUGCUAAAAAAAAUUGUUAUUUUAAAAAAAAGAAGAUGAAGAAAAAAAAAUAACAAUAAUAGGUGAAAUCCACCUUGCAACUUCCAAAAAAAAAAAAUUCCUCUGUAUUUUUCUCAAACAUACACUUCGUUUUCCUUAUUUUCCUUCUUUGUUAACCAUGUCCCUAGCCUACGUUACGUCCUAAUAAAAGUCCUUCUUGAUUUAGGGAACUAUAGUCUGAAGUAGAAGCUAGUUAUAUGGGCUAAAAAAAUAUAGUGGUGCAUAAAAAAAAUAAUAAUAAUAAAUAAAUUGGGUUGACUAGCAUUUUUAUUUGACUUGAGAUCGUAUUAUUUCUAAGCUGAGGGCAUAUUUCUUUCAUCUUGGUGAGAGCAUGUGAUAUCAUUUUUUUUUAUUAUUUUCUCUUAAUUACCAUUCAUUGGAGUGACUAUUUUUAUUGGGUUUAAUUUCUUUGUGAGAGUGUCACUACUUCCAGUGAGAUUUUGGGGUUUGACAUGUCAUUCUUGAAGGUAGCUAUGACAAAGUCUACUAGGCUGAUUCAUGUGGAUGGUUGAUGUGGGUGUGAUGUUUCUUUAGACUUGAGAUAAUGCUUAUACUUUUAUUUGAUUGUUAUCAUUAGUCUGAUUGAAUAAACAAGAGUGUUUAAAAAAAAAAUCAUUUUGGAUGUGAAUUUUGUUUUCGCUUUAUUUGCUAGGGACUAGCAAUAAGCUGGUUGGGGGUGUGUUGAGUGUUAGAAAAUGUAUAUUUAUAAAGGAGAAAAUCGUCAUUUUACACUUCAAGUUUUACUAACACCCUUACUUUUAUGUAUUUAACCUUCUUUUGAUUUAAUUCCGUGUGUUUUAUUUUAAUUAAGUAUUUUAUGUAUUUUAGGGGCAUCAUAGUCAUUUCACAAUGAACGAGAGGUCAGACGGCAAAACAGACAUCAAUUUUGAACUCAGGACGGUCGAAAACCUUAGGAGGAGCAUAAAAGGAAAAAUGGCAUUGUUUACAUGUACGGUACUAUUCACAUGUGCGGUACUGUCUACGUUACUGUUCACGACACUGUUCAUAUAGACGGAUCGAUGAUGUGGCAUUGACCGAUGAUGUGGCAUUGAAUGAUGAGGUGUCACGAUCCUGUUGGACUAAAAUUCUUAUGCACUGUUGAUCGAUGACGUGGCAGCAUAUCAGUGGACUAGAAAUCUCGCGUACGGUACGUGCAUUACACAGGAUUAUUUUCAACCAAACCGUGUUACUAUUCAAGCCGGGUCAAACCGUGUUACUGUUCACCCACGUGGUCAAACCGCGUACUGUUGACUGAUGACAUGGCGCAAUCCUGAGCGUCCAAACUGUUUUUAAUCCGAUGGCCAUGAUUUACUCCAUGUAUCUAUAAAAAGGGGGCCUCCCCCCCUAAUUUGAUAUCUCUGAAUCCAUUUUUGGACUCCAUUUUCUGUAAUUCCUUCUCUAUCUUGUAUUUUCUACAUAUUUUAAUAAAUUCUCAUUUUGCCCCUAGUUCAAUUAUGAGUGGCUAAUUUUCUUUCAAGCUUGGGUUGAAGGUGAAGUCUCAACAUGUGUCAUGGGCUUUAUUUGGUAAAUUUAUUUUCUCUUCCCCUCUAGUUUUUGUGGAUGUUUUGACUUCUCGUCGACAAAUAAUAAUAAUCUUGUCUAGUACCGCCCUGGUUUCACCGGCUCCCUAGUACAAGGUUAUUAUUAUUUGGCACGAUAAGCCCUUAGCACCAUAUUGAUUAGAGUGUGGUUCAUGAGGUGUGGAUUCCCCCCUCAUGAUUUAAUUGGUAUUAAUAAGGAAUAUUUAGCCCAUGAUGCAUGUUGAUACGGAUCCAGAUACCCAAGUAUGUCAUUUUAAUAGAUUUCUAUUCAAUUUAUUCUCGCCAUUUAAAUUCCAAUUUUAGGAUAAUCCAAAUCAUUUUCACCACAAAUCCAACCACCUUCAUACAAAAUUAAUUCUACAUAUAAUUAAAAUCCACCUCCUCGUGGGAUCGACAUUCGUCACCAUUGAUCUAUACUACAAUAGAUUCGUGCACUUGCAAGUUCAAUAAAAUUUGCACAACAGUGAUCACAUAAAUACAUAUAAUAUGAUUAAAUAGACUUUAAUACAAAUAUUAAUGCAAUUAAGAUAUUUGAAUAAAAUAUCUCAUUUAUUUUAUUAAUCAGAAAAAUUAUUUAUUACAAUUAAAUAAACACAUAUGCUUUUAAAGAGCAUAUUUUCCCAACACUGAUACCGUGGCCCUAGUGGAGGUUGGGCUUAAUACACAAAGGAUCAUUUGGUACUAGCAGAAAGAAAAUCAGGAGCCCUUGGAGGUGGAUAGAGAUUUGAUUGAAGAAAAAAGAUAAAACGUAGCAGAAAGAUUAGUAGCCUACCAGAAAAUGAUCGCCAAGUAUUAAAACACCAGAGUUAAAAUACGAGGGUUUCAACCUGGACACCUAGUACUAAAGAAAGUAGAAACAAUAUGGGUAGAGGAAACCCUAGGCCCUAAUUGGGAAGGCCUAUACAUGGUUAUAAAGUAAGUAACUCCAGGAACGUAUAUUCUGGCGGAAAUAAAUGGAAAGCGGUUAACUCAAUCUAAGAAAGCAGAACAUCUUAGGCGUUACUAUGCGUAAGAACGGAACAAUUUUUUUUCCUUAUUUAUCACUUUUCUCUUAUGAUCUGCUUUUUGAAGAUGGUUAGUUGAGAAGUUGUCAAGUUUGAAAUGUUAGAUCUAAUAAGCUUGUAGUUGUUUACAUGUCGGCUUUGGACCCCAAAUUGAUACCGCUAAUAUUAGGUGGUCCACCACAAGCAAGAGGAAAAGUCUUUUAUGUUAUUGUCAGUUGUUUGUUAUUCAUGUCUUUGAACCCCACACUAGCAUUACAAACAUUAACUGGGCCAGUUCAAGCUAGGGGGAAGUCUGUCUUCAAAUUUUAUAAAAUAAAUGUUCAUGCACAUUUUGUCAUUUUUUGUAUGUUCAUACAAUUUCACACUUUACAUCAAAAUUUUACCAUAAGAUGUUGCAUGGUACCCCAGAACAAAAGCAAGCAGACAAGAUUCAAAACGCCUUACAAGGCAAGAAUAAUGUUGCCUUUGAGGCAUGAAAAAUACAGCCCUACAAGCCAAGAAAUCAAAACGCCUUACGAGGUAGGAAUAAUGCUGCUCUUGAGGCAUGAAAAAUACAGCCUACGAGGCAAGAAAUAAAAAAUGUCUUACGAAGCAUGAAUAAUGCUGCCCUUGAGGUAUAAAAAAUACAGCCCUACGGGACAAGAAAUCAAAAUGCCUUACAGGACAUGAAUUAUACUGCCCUAAUCGAGGCCGGAAUCAUAUGGCCAUAUCGAGGCCGGAAUCAUAUUGCCAUAAUCAAAGCAUGAAUUAUUCUACCUUAAUCAAGGUAGGAAUCAUUUUGCUCCAAUUAAGGCAUGAAUUAUACUGCACUAAUCAAGGCAGGAAUCAUAUUAUCCUAAUCAAGGCAUGUGUUGUGUAAAUUUUAUUGAACUCGCAAGUGUACGAAUCUAUUGUAAAAUAAAUCAACGGUGACGAGUGUCGAUCCAAUGAGGAGGUGAAUUUUAAUUGCGUGUAAAGUUAGGUUUCUAAGUGGGUGGUUGGAUUUGUGGUGACAGUGAUUUAGACUAUCCUAAAAUUUAAAUUAGAAUGACGGGAAUAAAUUAAAGUAAAAAUUAUUAAAAUGAAGCGUUUGUGUCUCUGGAUCUGCACUCAACAUGCACCAUGGGCUUAAUAUUCCUUAUUAAUGCCAAUAAAAUCAUGAGGGGGGUUUCCACUCCUCAUGAACCUUACUCAAAUAAAUAUGGUGCUAAGUGCUUAUCAUGCCAAAUAGUAAUAACAUUGCACUAGGGAGACAGUUAUACUAGUGCAAUAUCUAGAUAAGAUUAUUAUUAUUUGCUGAUGAAAAGUCAAAACAUCCACAAAAAUCAAAGGGGAAGAGAAAGUAAAUUUACCAAAUUAAGCCCAUGGAACUGUUAGCCUAAAGGGCUACACAUAAUGUAAUUUUGAUGAUAACAAAUAUGUGUAUUAAGUGAUUUAAUAAAUAUUAUAUUUCACAUUUUUACUAAUUUUUUAAGGGUAAUAUUUAUGCAAGUGAAUCAAGUGAAAUCAAGGUCAAGACACUCAAUGGACAACGGCGAAAUUAAGAAUAAAGUUUAGAGCUCAACGGACAAAUUAUUGUGAUAAAUUCUUGUAAAGCCGGUAUGAUUUAAUUGAUGCAUGAUUUAGCAUUUGAGAAGCUCAAGAGAUUUAUUUAAAUAAUUACUUUUCAUAAACUAAAAGGUUUUAUUUUUAUAAGGUAAAGUAUUUUGUGGAUUUGAGUAAUUUGGACUUAAAUGAAAAGUUUUGCAAUCUUUGAUUUUAAUAAGUAUUAUUUUGAAUUUCAAAGUUGGACCUUUUUGCAAACAUUUGAAAUGUUUUGGGCCAUACUAUAAUUUAUGAACAUUUUUUACUAAAGUGAAAGGUUUUGAGAACUUUGGAAAAUAUAGGUAUUAUGUUAAAUUUUAAGUCCAAAAGCCUUGAAAAAUAUGGAUAAUCUCUUGAUUGUAAAGGUUCAUUGACACCUUGAAAGUCAAUUGUAAGAACUUGAAGCUUUGGGAGGUUUGGAUAGUGAAAUCCUCGAGCUUGGUUGGCUUGGAGGCGUGGACGUAGGCGGAAAUUGCCGAACCACGUAAAAAUCCGUGUGUUUAUUUUUCUCUUCCCUUACUCUUUUAUUUUUAUGCUUGUUUGAAUUUAUUGUUUUCUAUUCCAUUAAGGCGUUAGAUUGAUUGGUUGUGCGAAUUGUAUUGCAUAAUUUUUAAAAACUCAAUUCACCCCCCUCUUGGGUUGCGUAACUUGCAUUUCAAGAACAUGUUGAGACUUUACUUUCAAUCCAAGCUUGAAAGAAAAUUAGCUACUCAUAAUUGAACUAGGGGUAAAAUAAAAAUUUAUUAAAAUACGUAGAAAAUACAAGAUAGAGAAGGAAUUGUAGAAAAUAGAGCUCAAAAAUGAAUUUAGGGGUGCCAAAUUAGGGGGGAGCCCCUUAUUUAUGAUACAAUGAGUAAAUCAUGGCCAUUGAAUUAAAACAAUUUGGACGCUUAGGAUUGCGACACGUGGUAAGUUCUGAUUGGAUAGAACACAUUAUCAAGGCUGUCAUUCCGUGUAUAUGCAUGUACUGUACGUAUGUUUUUCGGUCCACUUACAUACUGCCACGUCACGGUCAAUGCCAUAUCAGCAUUUUAGUCCAAUAGGAUCGUGACACAUCAUCGGUCAAUGCCACAUCAUCAGUUAACGCCACAUAAGCAGUCAAUGCCACAUCAUUCGUCCAAUCGAAUACUGCCACGUCAUCGGUCAGUGCCAUGUCAUCGAUCAGUGCCACAUCAUCGUAUUGUAUAUGUGAACAGUGUCGUGAACAGUACUAUGAACAAUACCGUACAUGUGAACAAUGUCAUUUAUCUUUUUAUGCUCCUUUUAAGGUUUUCGACUGUCCUGAGUUCAAAAUUGCUAUCCGUUUUGCUAUCUGAUCUCUCGUUCAUUAUGAAAUGAUCACGAUGCCCCCUAAAAUACAUAAAAUAUUAAUUAUAAUAAAACACACUUAAUUAAAUCAUAAAAGACUUAAAUACAUAAAAAUAGGAUGUUAGUGAGACUUAGAGUGUAAAAUGACGAUUUUCUCAUUUAUACAUAUACACUUUUUAGCACUCAACAGCAUGCAUUAUACUGCCUUAAUCAAGGCAGAAAUCAAGGUGUGAGUUAACCAGCCUUACGAGUCACGGAUUGAGCAAAUCUACAAGGCGCAAAAUAGACAGUCAUCUGAAACACGAAUUAAAUAACCCUCAGAGGCAUGAACUAUGUAAUUCUUCUAGGUGCGAAUUAUACCACCCUAUAAGACAUGAGUUACGCCACACUCUGAAUCGUGUUAAAAGAAACAGUACUACCAACCGUGAUCUGUUACGGCCUAAAUAGAAAGUAGGUAACCACAAAUUUUCACUAUCUGGCCGACAUGUAGAUAGUAAUGAGUUACUACUGUCUGGAUAAAAGAGUAGGCAAUCAUAGAUUAUUCCAAUUUUGACGCAUUAAUGGGCACAAGUUGCUCAUACAAGAAGAUAUGAAUAAUUAACAUUUGAAUGACCAUAUGAGUCAGUACGAAUCUCUACCACCUAAGCAUAAUUCACAGUCAGUUUAACAGCAGAGCAAGUAAACGCGAGUUAUUGCCACUUGAAUGAUUCCAGCUUACUUGGAGGAACAUCAAUUAUAGGGGUCAGAAAAUAACUCAUGCUAGACAAUGAAGCACAAGACGAAGGCAAAAACACCAUCAAAGUUAAAUAUAGGAAAUUGAAAACAGCCCAAAAAGAGAACAUUACAUGCCAAAAGUACCAGAUGGCAGUAAAGUAAUACAUAAAAUAUAAAAAAUUUAAAUAGAAUUAUUGAAUGUUCAAAGCACCAGUAAAGGAGGUUAAAUCGGCCUUAGCUAACUUUGGGAUAUCACUUGGGUAGAUAGCGGCCAAAGGGGGGAUGUUCAAAGAAGAUUCACCCCCUCUUCAUUUGUUUCUCUACUAACAGGUCUAGAAGUAAUAGCAGUAUCCACAGGAAAAGUGGGCUGAGGUGGAACAUGAGCUGGUUCGUCUUGCUGACCAGUUGGCUUAUCAUCACUAUCUCUAGCCAACUUGUCCUCUGGAGACAGGUCAAAGUCGUCCACUAGGGGAGUCUUAGAAUAAUAAUCAUCCAUGAACUUCAAAUCCCAUUUAGAGUGAUGGUCCUUCAUAACUUUCUUGCAAUCUCGACCCCAACAAAGAAUUCCACAUCUUUUACCUGCUUGAAUUCAGCCGAUUGGAGGUAAGCUUCGAUAUGGGUUUGAUAAUUGUUCUGAAGCUGUUGCCUCAAACAAGCUAUCUCUUCAUCCUUGUUCUUGAUCACCCCGCUACUGAUACUAUGCUCUAAUUUAAACGACUCAUGUACAGACUUGAAGGUUGAAAGUUUGGUCCUCAACUGGAUUAUUUCGCCUGCAACUUUGUUUUUCUCGUUCCUAGCUUUUGAGCAUUCAUUUUCUGAAUCACAAUACAGAUUGUAUAGCCAGGAGUGAAAGCAUUGAAUCCAAGAGUGUAAUUAUCAGGAGUAUAGCCAGAAGUAAAGGCAGGAUCUGAAUACACCACAUUUCCUUGAAAAGCAAAAUUUCUUGUCAUGUAGGUCCAAGACCUCUGCCAAACCAUUAAAUGAUCUGCCUCUGCCAUACUAUCGUUGUCUAAAACCUCCAUUGAAAUUUCCUCCGCCAUAGUUCUUUUAACGUACAAAGAAGAAUUAUAUGUGUUAUUGCACCUAUUUGCUCCAUGUUCAGGGAUGAGGUAUAUUUGACAGAGAAUGUCAACUGGCAUGAGAAUUUCCUCCACCAAUGAAUUUUCCAAAUCCAUUAUUAUUAAAUCCACCAUUUAAGCCACCAAAUUUGAAUUAUUGCCACCUCCAAAAUUACCUUCAAAAUUUCUCUGAACUCCACCACUGUUCUUUCCAGAAUAUGAACCUUUUUUAGCUACAUUUGCAGUCAUAUAAUGCAUAACAUCACUAGCAAUUUCACCUUUCAUUUGCUCAGUUCGAUUUUCAUGAUUCAGAAGUAUAGAAAUACAAAUCAUGUAAGGUGAUUGUUCCUUCUCUGGCUAGAACAACAGUUAUCAAAGAUUCAUAAUCAAAGAAGCCAAGGGCAAUCAACACAUGCAUAACAAAAUCAUUCAAUUCAAUUGGCUUUAAAGCUAAAGAUAGUGUGUCUGCUAUACGUUUGAUUUUAGUAAAGUAAUCAGCCAUAUUCAUAAGUCUUUUCUUAAUAGUCUAAAUUUGCAUUCUCAGAGUUUCGAACUUGAGAUUUCGAGAUAAACAUACUGUUAAGUGAUUCCCAAAGUUACUUUGAAAUUGCACAAUUGAUUACUAUUAAAAGCAAGCUUUGCUGAAUAGAUGACAUCGUCCAACUUAGAAAAAGUUGAUCAACUUUUAUCCACGCUGUAAGCACAGGAUUUACAGAUCUAGAUCCACUUUCAACUGAGGCUCUAGCUCCGUUACUGCUCUCAGGUCCGCUCUGGACAGUUUUGAUCUCCAUUAAUGAAGCCUUCUAAUCCAUUUCCUUUAAUUGAAGCUAAGACUUGUGUAUGCCACAUAAUGAAAUUAUUUUGAUCGAGUUCAGCAUGUGUAGCAAAGCUAUAAGAUGAACUAGUUUGAGUCAUGCUUACCAUUGUUGGCUCUGAUACCAUGUUAAAAUCUUAAGAAACUGUGUUUAGCAAGCAAGAAAACUAAAAAGAAUUGAAAGAAAAUUCAGAAUAGAAACUUGUAGAAGCUUCUCAUCAGAAUUGAUUAGAAUGAGAACAGCUUACAUUUAUAUAGCGUGCUAAAAUGAUUUGCUAUAAGUUGUUAAUAAUUUGUCAUACACAUGUGCAUUAAGCCAAACCAAUUAACUAACUAUGCCACAUCAACUAAGUGAGCUAUUUUGCUGCUGUUGAUCAUACAAUAAUAGCAUGUACUCCCUUCCUUUGCUCUUCACGUAUUAUCAGCUUCAUUUACAGGUUAUUAUUGUAAAAAAAAUAAUAAUAAAAAGGAUAGUGGCGUAAUAUAUUCAGCAACAAGGGUAACUUAAGGUAUCAUUUUAAAUAUAGAAACUAAACGGGCACUUAACUCAAAAUAUAGGACCAAGCUAGUAUUUAUCCUUGUUUCGUUUAAUAUCUCUGCCUCAUAAUAAAAGGCUAUGCUUUUAUUUGUAAUCUUCAUGAAAAAAUAACUUCAGUUUUUUAGCGAACUCAAACUUCAAAUUCUUUAGCACCAUCAAUUUUUUUUUCAUAACUAUAGAUUUUUCUUUUUCAUAUCAGUUGUAGUUUUUAAGUCACUCAUCUCAAUAUAAAAAAGGACCUUAGUUGAUGAUUGAAGAUAUUAAAAAAAAAACCAACCAAAAAUAUUAAAAGUGAUGAUAAUUAGGAGAAGAAAGGAGGGGAGGGAAUCGGCAUCCGGUUACUUAUUAUUAAUACUCUACUUAUGUACAUUCUCAUUCCCAUCAUAAUUCUUCAAAGGAGGGGAUGACGAUCCCCAAAUAAUAAAAGAGAAUCCCAUAGGGUACCUAAUUCCCAAAUAAUUGAUAUUUUUAUUUUCUUAUCUUAAUAUAAUCAUAUUAAAGUGAAAGUACAAAAUUGUAUUACCAUACAAAAGCAUCAAAAUAAACUAGUGCAACUUAAAUAAUUUCCAAUAAACUAAGUCAAUGUCAUCAACAUUACAAGAUAAUUUAUGAAAUUAAGCAAAAGCAAAUCUUCACAUUUGGAUACAUCCAUAAAAAUGAAAUUAUCUCUUGCAUUAACAUUUAUCCAUUAUAAAAGUCACAUGGUAUAAAUUAUCAACAAAAUUGUCUCUUAUAUAUGAAUAAAAUAAUUAUGGCAAAUUUCAGUCAAAUGUUUAUAUUAGCUCUUACUUACAUCAUUAUUAUAAACAUGUAUUUGUUAUUUACAUAUGUACUAUUAAAAUUUAAGUUUUAAAUGUAUUUAGAAAGAAAGACACCCACACCUCUGAAGUUUACUUAAAUGGUUAUGUAGACUCUCUUAGUUUUAUAAAUAAUCACAUAAACCCCUUUCUAACUAUUAUAGCCUUGGAUUUUAAUAAGAGAAAAAUUAACUUUAAAUAAAUAAAAAAUGUAAUAUUUAAAAUAAUAUAAUUUAUAAAAAAAUCAUAAAUUACAAACUAUUUUGAAUAUUAGACAGAAUUAUUUUAAUAUUUAAUAUUAAUAAAAUCUUUUUCACAAAUUAAUACUAUAAAAUAAUUGUGUUUAACAUUCAAAAUAACUUACAAAAUCUAUACCAUAUAUAUUCUUUAAAAUAUUUUUAUACUUUUGUCUAUAUUAACAUAAGUUUAAAGCUAUCUUUUGGAUUAAAUGAUUUAAGUACUAAUAAAAUCUAUGAUGAAAUAUUGACAAUAGCUUAAUACUAAAAGUCAUUUGCAUGAGAUAUAACUGUCGUUAUAUUAAUUAUAUUUGUUUUAAUAUUUUAAUUGUAUUUAUAUGCUAUUUUAUAUCUUGCUCUUACCUUAGAAUUGUAAUUAUAUUUAUCAUAAAAGUUUUGACUAUAAUCCAAGGGUAUAAACAUGAAAAAAAUAAUCUAUGUGACCAUUUAUAAAAUUAAAGGAGAUUUUGAUAUUAUUUAAGCAAACAUUUGAGGUGUCAAUGGCUUUUUCCUAAUGUAUUUCCUAAAAAUUUUAGGAAAAAUAAAAAAGGGAAAUAUGAAAAUUUCAAUGAAUCUCCCUUUUCUUUUUCAAAAAAGAUAUUAGGUCUUAAGUUAUUUUUUCCGUUUUUUAAAUAAAGCAUUAAAUAUAAAUCUAUAUCCAUAUCACCCCAAAAUACGAAAAUUCCUCAGGAAUUAUCGUUCCUAAACAAGAAUCUUUGCCAUCCCUAACUCUUAUGCACAAAGUUUAUGUUGCUACAAGAAGUCAAGAACGACUUCGAUGGGUCUACCGACAUUAUUAUAAAUGGACCCCGAUUACAUUUAAAGUCUUCGGCUUCUUUCCCAUUUUCUUCUUCUUUUUCAUAAACAUGUUUUCUAACCCUUGUUCGGUUACUUCACGAAUACGACUGUUUGUGAUAUUCAUUUUUAUGCUUACUUGAGUGCCGCCGGCCGCCGUGAGGAUGACAAUGCAAUCACAUGAGAAAUUUUUCCGAACGCAUGAAAAAUUAACACCUGUCAACAAAUCUUUUGUUACAUAAUAUUUGUAUUUAAUAUGCUAUAAAUAAUUUGAACAUCUAAUAGAAAUAAAUUAAGUUAUUAAUUAUAUUAAUUUAUGACCAAAUAAUGAGCAUGGCCUUUUUUGGUAAUUAUAUAAGUACACUGCACUUUUAUGAUUAAUUUACUAAACAAAUAUAAUAAAUUAUUUCAUAAUUGAUUGUCUCACCAUCUACAUUUUUCAAAAACCUUGGAAAAUUAUUUGUGUUUGAGGAAUUAAAUAGAGCGACCAUGAUCUCCUCCGAGUGAAAGUGAGCAAAUGGUUGAGCAGGUCACCUUGACCAUGUGGUAUGAGCUUGAGCAGAUCACCUCGACCAGGUACAAUGAGGUUGAGCAGAUCGCCUUGACCAGGUGGUGUGAGCUUGAGCAGAUGAGCAUGUGGUAUGAGCUUGAGCAAAUCACCUCGACCAGGUGCUAUGAGGUGGAGCAGAUCACCUCGACCAGGUGCUAUGAGGUGGAGCAGAUCACCUCGAUCAGGUGCUAUGAGCUCGAGCAGAUCACCUCAACCAUGUGCUAUGAGCUUGACCAGAUCACCUCGACCAGGUGGUCUAAACUUGAGCAGAUCACCUCGACCAGGUGAUGACCAGGAAUAAAGACUCAAUUAAAAUAAACCACCACAAAGAUCCUCCGAAAAAUCAGGGCACGAAUUUGAUCAAUUAAUGGUUAUUGGCACGAUCUAAGGUCGUGGGUGUGGGGUGUUUAUAAAAACCCCGAGAAAACCACGCCAAGGAGGCUCUUAAUUUCUCUUGAUCUGACAGAGAAAUUCUUUCUGGAUACUCGACUUUACUUUCCUGCAAAUUAGUCAAAAAGCUUUGGGUUUUAAAGCAAUGUUUAUUAAGCCAUAUGAGGAUGGGCAUAUUUGGUUUUUCCUAUAAACCCCAUAACUGACUUGAGCGUCGGAGGGUUUACGCCGGAAAAACUUCCGGCACCUCUGACCAUUCUCUGUAAUUUCAGGUACUUAUUGAUUGUCAGUUUGAAGAUUAUAUGCUCAUGAAUGUUCUGCUCAUAGUCAGAGAAUAUUCUCGGAGAUCAACCAUCAGCUUCCCACCAACAAAUUUAAUGCUGAUGCAGGGAUCUGAAACUGAGUCACUAACCAACUGGUUCAGAUUUCGGCAUCAACAAUUUGCAAAGUUGACUAUUUGAUCAAAAGUUCAAUUUUUUUAACAGAAAUUAAUGUUGGGAGUAUUUGAACUUAUUAAUUUUUUUUUUUAAACAAUCAAGAGAUACAUAUAUUACAAACUAAAUUCUAUUGGUAGUCUAGAUAGUUGUAUUUCUAACACACCCUAAAAAUCGGCCUAUUACUAAUUCCAUAUUGAAGAGAUAUAUAUUAUAUAUCCACUUUUAUUUGGAUAAGGAAAUGAGAUGCGUGAGGUCACCAUUGGGCUAUGUCAACCUUUGCUCCAAACAUUCACAAUUAUAUUUAGUAUUUUCUCGUGCUAGGUGAUUCAAUUACAUUGAAUUAUAUUAAUGUUGUCAUGUGUUUGGUGUAACGCGAGAUUGGUCAAGGUUUUAUAUAAAAUUUACAUUAUUAAAAUGAAAAUAAAUAGUUGGAUAUUGGUUUAAAUUUUAUUAUAGAAUUUAUAAAUAUUAUUACCAUGUAUUUUUUUCUGUCUUCUAAUUUAUCCCUUAAUUAAUAACAUAAGAGAUCUGUUAUUGAGAAAUUAUUAAUUAAUAUUAAUUUUCAUUCAAUAUUGCCCCCGUAGAUCGAAACAGCGUCAGUUAAGAGACUCUUUCGUUUAUGUUAGCGAUGAUCGAAGCUUCAUUUGAAAGAGAUGCUUUACGGAUUAUUUAGCUUAUGUCAUUAAUAAAUAUACAUGAUCAUAACUAAUUUCCAGCUUCUGGUGAAGUUAAAAUCGUUAUUUUUCCAUUUUGUGAUUCAAGCAUGUAUUUUUAAAAUUUUAUAAUUAAGUUUAAUAAAUUGAAUGGUAUGUGAGUAUCAUUUCAUUACAUUUACAUCUCUAUCUUUAAUUUUAAGGAAGCUAUAUUAGCUGAUAUUUCUAACAGACAAUCGAAUCUGUUCUAAAUAGAAAAAUAGAAAUCCUUUCAGCCAAAAAAAAAAAAAUUCCUCCUUUGAAUCUGGCGACAAAGGAUAACUUGUUUUUUUUUUUUUGCGAAAAAUUGUUCAAAACAAUAAGAGUAUAUCUUGUUUGUAAAGAGAGCACUCCUUUUUUUUUUUGAUAUUUCUAUCUGAUUUAACCAAUGAGUUAGAACGAAUGAACGAAUCAGUCACUACAAGGAUAUUGGUAUUUAGCAAUGAAAAUAUUUCUAUUGCUGUAAGUACUUUUUAGCAACGAAAAAAACUUUUGUCACUAAAUUCAUAAUAGAAAAAAUAAUAUUUAAUUAUCACUUUUAGUGAUGAAAGAUUCGUUGUCAAGGAGGACAUAUUGCGACCAAAAAUUUUGUUCAUCGCCAAAAAAUUAAGCGGUAAAAAAAAUGUUGAUGCCUAAACCUUUAGCGACCAAAAUUUGAUAUAUGACGAUGAAUAAUUUUCAUCGCUAAAUAUAGUUUUAGCGACGAAUAUAUUUCGUCGCUAAAACUCCUUGAUAUGCCAAAAAAAGUAUGUUUCAGCAACGAAACUAAAUUUCGUCGCUAAAAAUUGUUUUAGCGAUGAAAUCUAUUUAUUGCUAAAACUUUUUUAUAUGCAAAAAGAACAUGUUUCAAUAACAAAACUAAAUUUCGUAACUAAAGCUCUAUGAUAUGCCAAUAGAGCAUGUUUUAGCGACGACACUAAAUUUCGUAACUAAAUCUCUAUGAUAUGUCAAAAGAGUAUGUUUUUAGCAAUAAAAAUAAAUUUCAUUGUUAAAAAUAGUUUAUUUCGUCGCUAAAACUCUUUUAUAUGCUAAAAGACCAUAUUUUAGCGAGAAAAAUAAAUUUCAUUGAUAAAAAUAGUUUUGGCGACGAAAUCUAUUUGUCACUAAAACUCUUUGAUAUGCUGAAGAGCAUGUUUUAGGGACAAAAAUUAGAUUUCAGUGACGAAAUUUGUAUUGCGUCGCAAAAAAAAUGUGUAAAUUCAAAAAAAAAAUUUGACGGAUGACUUUUCACCAAAAUUUAAGACUUUUAGCGACAAAACUAAAUUUCGUGACUGCAUGUGUACUUUUAGAAACGAAAAUUAAGUUUUCUGGCUAAAUGUGCACUUUUAGCGAUGAAAUAUUCAUUUCAUCACUAAAAAUGUCAAAAUUUAAAAAUUUUUAGCGGGCUAUUUUCCGCCAAAGUUAAGUUUUAGCAAUGAAUUUUAAAAUUCGUUGCUAAAAACUCUUGUAGCCUAUUUACAUAUCAUUUACUUCAUUUCUUUCGUUAAUUCUUUCAUUCUCUCAUUCCCUUACUUUAAUUCUUUAGUUCUCUCGUCUCUAAAUAUGUAAUUUUUAUUUUCUAAUUUAAUCUCUACUUCUUUUCUCUUUUAUUUUUGAUGUGGUGUAAUUUUUUUUUUAUCUUAUUUAUUUCAACUUAUAUUAUUAUUAUAUUUGUGUUUAUUAUGUUAACUAACUAUUGUGUAUUUAUUUGUAGGGAAUAUUGAAGAUCAAUUACAUCAAGAUGAAGAAAAUUAAGAAAUUUAUAUUCAUUUGUAACAAUUUUCUUUCAAAAAAUAGAUAUUAAAUUUUGUAAUUAUUUUUGUAUUGUUCAUCAAUAAUAAUAAUUAUUUUUAAAAGUAAUUAAUUUUUUUUAUCACAAUGGUUAAUUGUCCUUAUAAUUUAGUAUUAAAAAUAAUAAUAUUUUAAAAAUAAUAAUAUUUUAAAAAUAAUAAUAAUACGAUGAAAUAGUUUUCGUAAUUAUUUUUCGUCGCUAAAAGUUCUUUUGCUGAUGAAAUAGAAUUUGUCGCUAAAAGAGCUUUCGCAUCGUUAAAAGAACUUUUUGCAACAAAAUAGAAUUCGUCCCUAAAAGAACUUUUGGCGAUGAAAUUUAAAAAUUCGACGCCAAAGAACUAACGCGAUCUCCUAUUGCGACGAAAUAGCGAUGAAAAUUUUUUCAUCUCUACAGCCUUUAGCAACGAAAAUGACAUAUUUUAGAGAUGAAAUUGUUCGUCGCUAAGACCUUUAUUUAUUGUAGUGAUUUUUUAUCGUCACUAAGACAUGAUUUUUUAAAGCGUCUGCUUUUAUGUUAUUUUAUAGGGUUCGAAUAGGAUGACGACUUCUAAAAUAUCAGUAUUAAUUUAUUAUUAGUUAGGUGAGAAAUAAGAUAUUUAAUUCUAUAAACUAUUGUACAACAAAUGAUUACAAGUAACGAUCAGUCAAGUCAAUGUGUGUGUGUGUGUAUACAUAUACAUAUACAUACACAUACAUACAUACAUACAGCUAGAAAAAUGUCUUAUUUGUUUUGUCAUUUUUAACUUUCCGGUCAAAUACGAUUGCACUUGGAAUCUCGGACCCACCAAAAAGUUUUCCAUUGAUAAGGACCGAUUGCAACUUACAGACAGAUACAAAAAAAUGUAAAUACAAUUCCAAGUCCUUUCUGAAGUUCUCGCCCUGUUCUAUACGUAAUUUAUGAAAUAUUCGUCGAUUCUACAUAACAAGUGGGCCUUAUCUGCUCGACUAAUUGCUCGUAUUUUUUGUUUUUACUGUUGUUCAUAUCUGCUAGUGGGGUUUUUCGAAAUCAUUGAUUUUUUUUUUCAUUUGAAAUUAAUAUCAAAACACAGCACCAUACUUUUUUCUGUGUAAUUUAGAACUAUCGCAUAAUGUUUUCUAUUCGGCCAUCGAUUAUUUAAUUGAUAACGGCCUAGCGGUCACGUGGCUAGAAAUUCUCUUCUUCUAUUUUAAUUAAAUUUCGUAUAUACUUCUCAUUUUUUGCGAGUAUAUUGAAGACCAAAAUAAUAAUAAUAAUAAUAAUAAUGUAUUACUUCCCAAAUUGCCUUCAUUAUAAUAUUUGGCCGCAAAACUAAUAAAACUGACAAAAAUUGCAAAGAAUAAAUAAAAAUUUAAAUUAAUUGAUAAUGGGAGAAUUACCAUUAAAAAAAAGAUUGAACUAUUUUUUAGGGCUUCUAACCCUUUUAUCUAAUACCGUUAAUAGAGGAUAAAGUUUUAGAUUUAGGGAUUCCCUUAAGGUGUGUUUGGCAUACCUCAAUACAUGGGAUUACAUUAGUUAAUGCAAUGCAAUCCCAUAUUUGGUAAAUCUUCCUAUUCACAUUAUGGUGUAUUACACAAUACACCAUAAUAUGAGGAGUGCCACAUUAAAAUAACUUGAGGGGGGUUGGAUUUGUGUAAUACGAUACUGUUCACAUUUGUUUUUUUUUAAUUUCUUUAAUUAAAAUAAUAAAAAAUAAAUAAAAAUGUAUAAUAUUUAAUUAAAUUAAAAACUCAAGUAUGUAGUCUGCCCGUGUGCAUAACUUCAUGUUUUGCACAAAAAUUUAGUACUAUUAACAUCCUUAUUGCUGAGGUUAAAAAAUAAUGCAAUUAUUCCCAGUACAGUAAUAAAAUUUGAAGACCAAAACUUUGACCGUACAUAUAUGACGAAUGAAAAUUUCUUUGUUGUAAUAUUUGUACCAUUGCAUAGCCCUGACAAUAAUGAUUCUAAUGAUAUCAAAAUAUAGUUCAAAUGACAGUAAAGUACGAUUGUCAACAGUGAAAAGCUUUUAUUUGAAUUAUAAAAGUUUAAAUUAUUAAUUAAAUAUAAGUAAUAAUAAAAUAUAAAUGAAUCUUAGAUUAGUAAUUUAAUAUAAAUAUGAAAAUAAAAAAAUAUUAUUUUAUAUAACAUAGUGCAUAUUAUAUCAAAUAUAGUAUCGCAUUACAGUUUAAUACAAUAUAAUGCAAUACAAUACAAUGUGUCAAAAACACGUUUAAAACAAAAUGUCACAACCACAAGAUUAUUUGGUAGGCCUACUUGUGUCAUCCUUAGUUUUUUUUUUUUUUUUGUGCCAAAUAGUAUAUUGGGAUUAAAUUUUAACAAAAUUAGUCUAUUCCACCAUCCUUAACUGCACCCAAACAUACCCCAAGGAUUAACUAUGAGAAAACUUUAAUAAAGACUUAUGGUACGUAUACUUGGAAUUGA
This 71157-nucleotide long non-coding RNA is filed under the name Citrus x clementina. Its description in RNAcentral is "Citrus clementina (C. clementina) long non-coding RNA (CCLE_LNC006735)". Lineage: Eukaryota; Viridiplantae; Streptophyta; Magnoliopsida; Sapindales; Rutaceae. The record is from RNAcentral.